UUAUUUUUUGCUUGUAAAGGAGUUAAUUGUGUGUGAACUUGGAGCUACUCACUUCGAAACCACUUAAUGUUCUUCAGAAGUUUGUUCAUUAAUUCUUGGCCCCGACGUGCGUACGUGCGUGCGUAUGGAUGAACCAUGAUGAACAACGCCCCAAAGAAAGAUUCUUCCCUGGAAAGAGAAUACUACCAACCACACAGUCUGAAAGCCAAAGGCAAUUCAGUAGAGGAAAGGGACACGAGAACAUCUGGUUAAUCUAUUAUAGGCACUGAAAUAUCUUCGAUUUUCAUCAUCGUCGAUGGAUCAUCGCCACAAGCUGGAGCGGAGUCCGGAUGAUCCAUCUGUGUUUCCAAGUCCCAACACGCCCGCCCGCAGACCCGAACAACGCUAGCUAGCACUCAACCCACUCAUGAUCCUUCGAUCAUCACAUACCUGACAAUCUAGACUCUAAUUAACAAAGCAACGAGACUGGGCCGGAGAUGCAUGCGUCCAUGGGGAUGGCGUCUAUCCGGCCGGCGAGGGGGCGCGAGAUCCGCGUCGACGGGCGGAUCUCAGGCCCUGAAGCAGGCGGCGAGGUGGAAGUGGAGGUGGCCCGAGGAGGAGCCGUGGUGGUGGUGGCCGCCGGAGACGAGGCGGCCGGAGCCGGAGCCGCCGUGCCGCUGGCCGUCGAUGACGGCCUGCACGCGGCGGAAGUUGUCGACGCCGCAGGGGAUGGUGAUGGCGCCCUGCUGCUGGAAGCCGUACUCCUCCUCGGCCUCCUUGAGGAGGCCCACGAAGAGCGGGUGCUUGAGGUAGCCCACCGGCACCACGAACCGCUCCUCCUCCUCCGCGCGGCCGCCCGGCCCCACCACGCGCACCGCCAUGCACCCCUUGGGCGGCAUCGACGAGCCGCCGCUCGAGCCCCCCGCCGCCGACGAGUGCUGCUUCCUCAGCAGGCUCACGCCCAUAUAUCUUGAUCUUCACAACACCCUACCCUGUACCAAGAAAGAAACGCUCUCUCGCUCGCUAGACCACGACGGCGACCGGCGUCCGACGGCGGGCGUCAGAGCGCGGGGCGGCGGCACGCUGGACGCUGCUGCAUGGCGGCCGUCGACUGGGUAGCUAGGGUUGGUGGCGGUGGUGGUGCUUGGCCCGUCGGGGUUCCCGGUCUCGGCUACGGCGCCUGUGCCUGCCUGCCUGCCUCGAUCUGCCCGUGCGUGCCCUGCGCUGGGUGCGUCUGGUCCGGGAGGGGGCGGGGGCGCGUGCGUAUAAGAGGCGGGGGGCGCGGGCUGCUGCGGUUUGUUGCCAUCCGCCGCUCCCUUUUCCAUACCGUAUUCCGUUUAUCUUUCCACAAGGUAUAUCGAUAACCUUUUUUUUCGGGGAAUAUCGAAAAUCUUUGCCCAUAAAUGUGGCACAGUACUGCAGUAUCCGCGCGAAAAUGAUCUCGUGAUUAAUCCCCACGUUUAUUGUUCAACGAUAAUAAUAUAUUUGCAUUUCCUGUUUUACGCCGAUCCCGUAUAUUUAGGGCUUAUUUAGUUGAGAUUCGAAAUCUUAUCUCGCCGUGUUGGGCGCAUUUAUUUCUCAAGAUAAGGUAAUUCUACACGUGACUACUAUUGUUUUCGUUUUGCUAGCUCAUGCUGGGACUGGCGUACACAUUUCUGCGGAAAAAAGAUUAGCGUAUUCAGAAAGAUUAGCGUUUUGAAUACGCUUUGAAUACGGGGAGAGGGGCAUCUGAUCCCCCCAGGGUAUAGCUAGCCGGGCUACUGUGUGUGUAGCAGCUGGAGGAAUGCCGUGUGUUGCAUCGACAGUCUUUUUUUGUGUGUGCGAGAGGGAUCUCUAGUGCCGUGUGUCGCAUACUCUCUUGACACUUCGGUUGGUGAUGCUACUGCUAGGGUAGAGGCUAGAGCUUGGUGGGCACUAGACACGGGCGCAGGUCGGUCCAGCCCGGUGAACAACUGUAUACACCAGCACCUAGUGCGACAAAACAUUACUAUUUCUUCCUUCCGUUCUAAAUUAUACCCCCUUCGUCUGGAAUUACUUAUCCACAAAUGCAUAAAAACAUAAAUAUCUAGAAUUAAAAUAUAUCUAGACAUAUUCAUUUCCAUUUCUGUGACAAGUAUUUCCGAACGGAGAGAAUACUCUGUCCGUUCCAAAUUAUAUGUAGUUCUGCUCAUUUUAGUGUGUGUAGAAUGUAUAUAGACAUAUUUUAUUGGUUUAUUUAUUCACUCAUUUCAGUUGGAUAUGUAAUUUAUAUUAAAAUAUCUAGAACGUCUUAUAAUUCGAAACAAAUAUGAUAUUUAAAAUCUAGGUUAGUUGUAAGUCAAACUUCUUUAUGUUUUUACGUUUGAGCAAGUUUACUGACAAAAGAAACCAACAUUUACAACGCCGAAUUAGCUUCAUUAUGGCAUCUCCAACGCCGUUCUCUAAAACAGACACACCAUUCAUUCGCGGACUGGUUCGGAUUGGUCUGUGAACUCGGAUUCGAGAGCCGGCCAUCCAACAAUGUCCCAUAAAUGUCCGCUCCUGAUGUUUUUCUUAUCCGCAAAAUUCAAAAUAAUAAUAGAAAAUAACACAAUUCAUCCAUAAAUAGCUUGCAAAUAUUCCUAGUAUAACAAUAGUUCAACACGUGUAAAUAUUACAUUCGAGAUAGACGGAUGUUCAACAAGUUUUUUGAAUCCAUCGAUUCCAAAUUCAACGGUACGCAAGUCAUAAUCGUCAGAUAUCCUCACACGCACGGUCGCCCUUAAGCUUCACCCAAUAAUGUUGAAUGUGAAUGGUCUACUCUCGGUCCUGUAGUACAACACGAUAAUGUUAGACAUUGAGUGAAUCAAUGAACUGAUCAACAUGUAGAGCAACAAGAAGCAAACACUACAAUCUUCAUGGUUGUCGAGCCUGAUGGCCACUUUGUCUCCACUCGUGCAACCACGCCACAAUACUUCAUGAAGGCGUUAGAGAUGGUGUACCACCUGUUGGCUAGUGACUUCACAUUACGAUCAUGGAUCACGUGCCUGUCGUAGGGCGCGAAGUGCUUCUCCUCAAGAAAUGAAGCACGCUUGUUUUGUCAAAACAGCGAGCCCCAUUGCCUCAUGCCUACAAAGUCUGCAUAUAUAAAUUUCCACGCAUCGCACAACAACAUAGACCCGCAUAUAUGACCUUCAACGCAUCGCACAACAACACAUACUCCAUCACCGAGUACCUCGCAAUCGUGCUUACUCUAGAAAACAACAAGAAGUUCAACAAAAAAGCUUUAUGCCAUUUGACCAAAUACUUGCUGGGUGUGGUGUCCGCCAUGGACGACAUCGACACGGGGGAGGGGGGGUUGCUAGAUACGGACGGAUCAUGAGUGGAUGACAUCGUAGUCCAAGGUGGGCAGUCGCGUAGGUGGCAUCUGCGGAUGUCUGGGCGACAGUCGGAGAGGUACAUCUAUGGCGCCCGAGGAGGGGGAUGCACAUCAUAUCUUUAGCUCCUUGUUGGUUCGACACUCUAUACUUAUCACUUCCAUCACUAGAAAGUGCUGCGACAAUUUCUUAAACACUUGGGGAUUAUUGACGGGGUCCUGUACCGGGGGUGGCUACCACCAAGGAGCCCGACCCCUUCAACUACAAGGUGGCCCAACAGACCCAUGAUGUGAUGCUAACCCUAGGAGGCCAUAAGACCUUCUUGACACCCAUGACUAGAGGGCGGCGGCGCCCUAGAUCGCAUCUGGCAUGUAAAACCUAGACUUCUCCUGUCUAUAUCAAGGGUUCCUCUCCAUCAUCUAUCCUCAGAUAGGAUAACUCCCGGUAGUGCCAUCAUACACCAUUGUAACCCCUCGCACGAGGUAUACCUCCAUUGUGAAUAACCAAAACCAAUAGGACGUAGCGUAUUACUCUCCGGAGGCCCGAACCUAAAUAAACCCCUCGCGUGACCUUCGAUCCAUGACUUCCAGCUGCGCUUGGACCCGUACCGAGGGAUCUGAUGGAAAUAUGCUCCAUCAGUUGGCACGACAGGCAUGGGUAGCGCUGGCUGGAGACCGAUCAUGGAUCGGAUCUUUCCCUGCUUCCGGCAACCUAUCGCCGGGGAAGAGCUUAAUCUUUGGCUCCUUCACGUUCGUCGUAGACAAGGCGGUCCGGGUCGGCAUCAACCUACCAUCCGACCUCACAGCCAUGGGACCUCCCGAAGGAUCUCCUCACGAUCUUGUCUGGACUAAGGGACGCACCCCACCACCAACCCAGAGGUGCCCUACGGGCAGCCUCCACGCCAUCCACGGAGUGGAGGCCAAUCCAGCAAUUCAGCUAGUCAUGAGUUCUGCGAGGCCUGCCACCUUAGCAAAGUGCCAGGAGACUGUCUCGUCACCGACCUAGAAACACACGAAGACGCCGAUGCGGCGAGUACAUCUUUAACCUCGAGCGACCAAAGAACACACGCCGAUCACCCUUACCAACGAGGACGAGAACACGAGCCUCCAACCCUUCCACGAGGUCAUGUACUCCGACCUCUGGGGGGGAGGAAGGGUCAUCUGCGGGCUCAGGGACUAAUGCCUCUUUAUAUCAAGGGACGUCCCUAUCCGAGGCCGCGUAAGCGAUAUUCCACCACCUAUACUUGAAAAUUUUUAUAACCAAGGGGGAGAUGACGAUGGUGAUGAUCACGAGCAUGAGGACGAGCAGGACCCAUAUACUCAGUGGCACCUGGCAACUUAUUCCAAUGGAUCACCUCUUUUCUGUAUACAGGGCACUACUGAUGUUACUAAGGAAGCAGGUGUUGUCUCGCAUGGUCGCACUCUCCGGACCUAUUCCAACAUCCGUUGCAGGGUAUUCGGGAUGGAUACUAGUGUGCUAGCGCCAACACCUUCUCCCUGGUUCAGUAUUGAUAGUCUUAGAGAAAACUCGCUCUUCCUUGGACAAAACUAUCCAAUGAUGGUGAAAAGCGAUCCAGCUUCUGUUGACACAAUGUUACUACUAUUUAUGAGAAGCAACUGUAUCUAUAUCUCGGACAUUGCAAUGCUUCCAUCAUAAUAUGGGUAUUGAAAUAGGCCGCUUCAGCCUGGAUGAUCAGUCCUGCGUUGGUCUCGAGAUUGACACUAGCUGGCCCUUCCCAGAGAAUCACUUCUGGUUCAAAGCAAGAAUUUCCAACGCCGACGAGUGGUUGAGCUGAAGUUCAUUUCAUUGCUUUCUUAUUUGUUGUGUGAGAAAAACUUUACUUUACUAGAAUUUUUUGUUGGAAAUGAUCUAUAAUCCAACAUGUAUCCUCGUUGUCGUUGUGGGUUGAUGACUUGUUAUGUGUAAUCAAUGGUACAUUUGCAUAUGCGUCCAUCAACUCACACCUGCUAGUGGUAUCCAUAUGAACAGUGCUAGUGAUUUUAGUUGCAAAAAUUAGAUAGUGCUAGUGAUUUUUAGCUACAUAUUUUGACAAAUCACAGUGUUACAAGGUUGACAAAUGGCAAUGUUACUAGAUAAACAAAUGUCAAUCUUUCCGGUUUGACAAAUGGCAACAUACCCAAUAUGACAGAUGCAAAUCUUACCCAUUUGUUUCUACGUGGUUGCACACGGGUCAUCCAAAACAAUCGUUUGCGUUGAAGGGAUGCACAAAUCCUGCACUGCGAAUUUUCCAUUGACUUAAGGGGGAAUACCAUAUCUCUCACUUUGCAUAUGGAUGUUCUAUCUAAAACGUUUGCGAUCAGGAGCUGCACAAAUCCUGCUCGGCACAGUUUCCCUUGGCUUCCUGGGGAAGCUGUCGGUUUGCAUACGGGUGUUCUAACUAAAACAUUUGCGAUGAGUGUUUUAUAUUUAAAAACCAUUGACGUUAUUUCAAAAGAAAAUUGUUUGAUAAGUCUAUACAUUAAGAAAUAAAAACGCAAGUUCGUUCAAACCAUAUCUUUCAUUCAGUCACACUGCGAAUUUAUAUUCGUAUGAUCGAGAAUUCGAGAUACAGUAUUAAAUCCCCAAAAAAAACUAUUUCUGGCGGUGGUGGAGGUGGCGUGCCGCGCCGUCGUUGUUGUUUUCGUCCUCCGAGGCGCUGUUGUUGAAGUCUUCAAGGCAGCAAAAAAUAUUUUUCACUUGUAAAUCAAACAUCAUGUCAUCGCGCGAUCGACAGGCGGGGCGCUUGAGGACGGCAACUGGCACCGCUGAGAGGUAGCGGUCGACGGCAGCGUCAAAUGCCGCUGAGGGGGCGCACGCAUGGGCACAUGCACGACGGGUGCAGCCAAACGCAUGGGGACCGGCGCCACGGUGGGUGGAGGGGCGCGCACGGGCAGGGGCACGGCUGGUGCAGCCAAACGCACGGAGGCCGGUGCCACGGUGGGUGGAGGGGCACGCACGGGCACAGGCACGGGCGCUAGCGUUGGCAUGUACACGAGCUUGUGCGUUUCCGCGGAGACCUCGCUGACGCCCACGGCUUCCAGCUAUGCGAUAGUGCUCGGCGACCAGCCCGUCAAUGCUACGGUUAUGGUCGCUGGCACGGGCGCGGUGAUGGGAGCUGGGACAGGAGCGGGGGCAGCAACCACCGCAGCCAGCUCGUUCAGGGCCAUGUCCAUGAGGCCCCAUUCCUCCUUAUUUUCUAUCUCAUCCGGCUCGGAGUCGACUUCACCAAAUUUGAAGACUAGUGACAGAUGAUCAUUCUGCGCCAUGGCGUUGGUGGAGGUCUGCGGGAGGGAGGGGAAUGGGAGGCGAACAGUAAGGCCACCCAUAUUAAACAGCGGCUCGGGUGCCAUUAAUGGAGAGGAAGGCGGGUGGCCAUGGAAGUCAAAGGCCUCGCUUCCCAGUGAGCAUGCGUAGUGGACAACACACAUGCUUCCCGAUAAGCUUCGCAUUGGAGAACAGCUUGCGCACCGGACUCCGCUCGCACACCUCCCAUUCAGUCAAGCAGCUAUCCUCAUGGCACCUCCUAUAGCCAUUAAAACGAAGACACGUGGCGUCCCGUGAAUGGUUAAUAGAACAUAUACGAUUUGAAUUAUACAAACAUUUGAGAUAUUAAAGUGGCAGCUACUUUUACAAAAUGCAUUUGUUGGUUGUUAUUCGAGUGCGCCUUCUCUCAAAAUGGACACAAAAAAUACCACAGCAUGUCGGGUGCCAUUCCAUGACAGCAUGCCAAGUUUCAUGAAUUUCAGACGAGUUUUGGAUUUACUAGAAUUUAAAAACAAAGUAUAUCAACGUUUUGCCGGCAAUCAACGGUGCCCUGGUGUUUAAAAUUCAUUUGCAUUUCUUGCAUGGGACCUAAGCAUGCACCCAAGGACACAUAUUUUAUUUUCCAACCAAUUUAUAUGCACUGGAGCAUGUGCAUGUAGUUCAAAUUUGAAUGAUGCACAUAAAAUGCCUACAAAACCCAGUUAAUGCAUAAAAAUGUCCAAAUGAACCCCGAAAAAUUCCAAAUUUUAACACAACACUCAUGUUGUUCUAUGUUGACACUAGAAAACUUUUGAAAUCAAUAAGAGGCAGCGGGUAUCGUUUCGUCCCCAGAGGUGGGACGUUCCCUUCCGAAACCAUCAGGCUUGUUGUGAGAAGCUUUGGUUUGUGAGAAACUUAUACCCAAAUAUGCCCCAAAUGGGACAAAAUUUUUACCACGACAUGUUGAUGCCGCUCCAUGAUAGCAUAGCAAGUUUCAUGAAUUUCAUAUGAGUUUUGGAUUUACUAGAAUUUAAAAACCAGGUAUCUCAAUGUUUGCGGCCGAGUGACCAUGGUAGGUUGUUUGACAUUCAUUUCCAUUUCUUGCAUGGGACCUAAGCAUGCAACCAAGGACACAGAUUUGAAUUUUUCAACCAAUUUAUAUGCAUUAGAGCAUGUGCAUAUAGUUCAAAUUUGAAUUAUGCACAUAAAUGCAUUGAAAACUCAAUUAAUGCAUAAAAAUAUCCAAACGAACCCCAAAAAAUCCCAAAAAUUGACACAACACUCCUGUUGUUCUAUGUUGACACGAGAAAUUUUUUGAAAGCAAUAAGAGGGAAUGGAUAUCGUUUCAUCCCCAAUGAUGGGACGUCCCUUACCAAAACCAUUGGGCUUGUUGUGAGAAGCUCUGUUUUCUGAGAAGCAUAUCCCCAAACCCGCCCCAAAUGGGACAAAAUUUUUACCACAACAUGUUGAUGCCGCUCCAUGAUAGCAUGCCAAGUUUCAUGAAUUGCAGAUGAGCUUUGGAUUUACUAGAAUUUAAAAACCAGGUAUCUCAAUGUUUGCGGCCGAGUGAUGGUGGCAGGGUGUUUGACAUUCAUUCCCAUUUCUUGCACGUGACCUAAGCAUGCAACCAAGGGCACAAAUUCAUUUUUUCAACUAAUCUAUAUGGAUUAGAGCAUGUUCAUGUAGUUCAAAUUUGAAUUAUGCACAUGAAUGCAUAGAAAACUUGGUUAAUGUUUAAAAAUGUCCAAGCGAACCCCGAAAAAUCCCAAAAAUUGACACAACACUCUUGUUGUUCUAUGUUGACACGAGAAACAUUUUGAAAGCAAUAAGAGGCAACAAAUAUCGUUUCGUCCCCCAAGGUGGCAUGUACCCUACCGAAACAAUCAUGCUUGUUGUGAGAAGCUCUAGUUUGUGAGAAGCAUAUCCCCAAACCUACCCAAAAUAGGAUAAAAAAUUUACCACGGCAUGUUGAUGCUGCUCCAUGAUAGCAUGCCAAGUUUCAUUAAUUUCAGACGAGCUUUGGAUUUACUAGAAUUUGAAAACCAAGUAUCUCCAUGUUUGCGGCCAAGUGACGGUGGCAGGGUGUUUGACAUUCAUUCCCAUUUCUUGCAUUGGACCUAAGCAUGCAACCAAGGGCACAAAUUUGAAUUUUCAACUAAUUUAUAUGCAUUAGAGAAUGUGCUUGUAGUUCAAAUUUGAAUUAUGCACAUGAAUGCUUAGAAGACUCAGUUGAUGCAUAAAAAUGUCCAAGCGAACCCUGAAAAAUCCCAAAAUUAACACAACACUCGUGUUGUUCUAUGUUGACAAGAGAAACAUUUUGAAAGUAAGAAGAUGCAAUAGAUAUCGUUUCGUCCCCCAAGGUGGCAUGUACCCUACCGAAACCAUAAGGCUUGUUGUGAGAGAAGUUCUGAUUUGCGAGAAGCUUAUACACACACCUGUCCCAAAUGGGGCGAUAUUUUUACCAUGGCAUGUCGCUACCGUUCCAUCAUAUCAUGUCAAGUUUCUUGAAUUUCAGACGAAUUUUUGAUUUACUAGAAUUUUAAAACCAUGUAUCUCAAUGUAGCGGUUGAGCGACAGUGUCAAGGUGUUUGAAAUUCGUUCUCAUUUCUUGCAUGUGACCUAAUCUUGCAACUAAGGACAAGCAUUUGAUUUUGCAACCUUUUUUAUGGACGGAGCAUGCGCAUGCAGUUCAAUUUUGAAUUAUGCACAUAAAUGCCUAGAAAACUCAAUCAACGUAUAAAAAUGUCCAAACGAUCCCCGAAAAAAUCCAAAAUUUAACACGACACUCCUGUUGUUCUAUGUUGACUCCAAGAAAAAAAUUGAAAGGAAGAAGAGGCGACGAACAUCGUUUUGUCCACAAAGGUGUCACGUUUCCCUAACGGAACCAUGAGGCUUUCUUGUGAGAAGCUCUGGUUUGUGAGAACCUUAUACCACAAUGUGCCCCAAAUGGGACAAUAUUUUUUACCUCAGCAAGUUGAUGCCAUUCCAUGAUAGCAUGCCAAGGUUCAUGAAUUUCAGACGGGUUUUGGAUUUACUAGAAUUACAAAAGCAAGUACCUCAACAUUUGCCGGAGAGCCACGGUGCCGUGGUGUUCGAAAUUCAUCCCCAUUUCUUGCAUGGGACAUAAGCAUAAACCCAUGGGCACCAAUGUUGGGGAUAUCGCUUAUCGGGAACUUAUCGGACGACCCAUGAUAAGGGGUAAAUCGGCCAGUUUAUCACCAUAUCGGCCGAUUUAUUGCCAUAUCGGCUGAUUUACCGGCCGAUUUAUCUUUUCGGUCAGACAGUGGUAAGCGAUAAAUCGGCCGAUUUAUCGAAAUAUCGGAAGAUAUCUUGAAUAGUGAUGGACAUAUGAUUUUACAAACCAUGUUGGUGCACCGGAGCAUGUGCAUGUUUUUAAUUUUGAAUUGUGUGCCUGAAAUGGCUAGAAAACCAAUUUAAUGUAUAAAAUUUCCAAACGAACCCUGAAUAAUUCCAAAUUAUUUUAUGACACACAUAUAGUUGCAUGUUCAAUACAGAUAAAAGGUAUAGCAAUUCAAACACCGUCCAUUGCCGAUGUGACCCCAUUAUGUAAUUCAAUUCAAGACGAAAAAUCAAGUAGAUCCAACAUAGUUUAUUAUCACCAACCGUGUGAGAUGCAGCACAAUAUAUCUUGGAGCACCGUCGGAUUAUAGUACACAUACGACUUACACGAGAAGGUGCGACGGCUAGAGUCCAAAGCCCACUCUGAAUAAGGGACCGUGUCUGAUGACACUUUGUGCGCUAGUUUUUUCGCUGAAGCGAUUCCAAAUUUUUGGCUUUCGCGGAAAUAUCUACCUCCCCGCCCCUCCCCCUUACCAAAAGCUACAUUUCCCCUAUUUCCACUUUCCUUUCCAAGUUCAAACUUUCACUCCUUUCUUGCAGCGCUGCCUCCUCGCCAGUGACCCUCCUUCAUGCUGCUCGGCCUCGCCUAUCCAGGCAGGUAAUCCACACCCGACCCCCAUCCUCCUUCUUCCACAUCCCUCAUGCCCCGACCGUCGGCGCGAGCGUGACACCUUCCACCCAAAUCACCGACCCAUCCACCAAAUAAGCGCCGCCCUAAGCCAUGGUGCACGCAGUGUAGCCAAGAUCUCAAGGAGCAUUUGGCUGCAGAGAAGCAAAUCGCGGCCACACGCGUGGAUGAGGUCGUCAUGGCUGCCAUUUGUGCCGACCCCCAGAUCUUGGAGGAGCACCUCACCGUCGAGGCCACUGUCGACGCCUCGCACGCCGACGCCGCGAGGCACUUGGCUGCUUUAAAUGACAGUUUGUGGCAUUUUCUCGAGGCCACCGUCGGUGCCUUCGACGAAGACUAUGAGGUGUUUUCUCAGCGUGCACAUGCUUACCUCAUCUCGAGAGCCAGCAGGUUGGUGCCCGGAGCGGCUCAGGCAACUCACCACUACGACGAGGGCACCCGCGAUGCAGAGGCCUCGCCCUCUUCCAUGUCCAAGCAGCCAAUAGUCAUCGAUAUCUCCGACAAUGAGGAGUAGCUUGUCUUAUUAGCUCACUAUAAGGACCCAUGUUCAGUUUGCUAGCUACUGCCUUUCCUUAACAAAGUCUAGUGAAUUGUGCUAUCUACUUUUACCAUGCAAUCUUCUGCGCUAGUGUAUAUGUUCUAUAUGUCGUGCAAUGUGGUGUUCAGUUAACUGUUUGGUUCAAUUCUGCAAAUGUGAUGUUCAAUUCUUCAGGAUGCAAUUUUCCAAGUUGUCAAGCAUGCUUGGUUUGGUUAACUGUCUGAUCUUCUAUUAGGAGUAUGUUAUAUUGUGCAAUGUGGCGCUCAAUUAAUGUUUGAUUCAUUUGUUGUGGUGUUUACACUACUGCAGGAUGCUGCUAACGCGACACUACGAUUAGACACCCUUCGAAAAAACUGUGUGCGAUGCAAUAAUCGCAAACGGUGGUGUAAAAACCCGUCAAAAAGGUGCAAAACGUUUGCGAUGACAGAUGCAUCAAACAUGAUUCAGAAUUUAGUUGCGUGUGCGAUGGAGGGCAUACGGUUUAGUUCAAUUAACUAUUUGUGAUGAGGAGAAACAAAAGAAACGGGCAACUAGAUGAAGGUGUGUGCGAUAUACAACAUACGGUUCACUCAGAUGAACUGUUUGUGAUUAGGCAACACAAAAGAAAUGGGCAGCCAGAUGAAGGUGUGUGCGAUGUACAUCAUACGGUUCACUCAGAUGAACUGUUUGUGAUUAGGCAACACAAAAGAAAUAGGCAGCCAAAUGAAGGUGUGUGCGAUCUACAACAUACGGUUCACUCAGAUGAACUAUUCGUGAUUAGGCAACACAAAAGAAACGGUCAGCCAGAUGAAGGUGUGUGCGAUGUACAGCGUACGGUUCACUCAGAUGAACUGUUUGUGAUUAGGCAACACAAAAGAAACGGUCAGCCAGAUCAAGGUGUGUGUGAUAUAUGACAUGCGGUUCACUCGGCCUUGUCGUCAGUGUGUGACCUCUGUGGCAACCGUUCUCUCCCCACUAGCCUCUUCUUGUACCGUGGCAACCGUCCACCGCCUCUUCGCCUUUCCCUCUCAAUUUGGAACAGUUGUCGCACGCUCUUCCUCCCUCCAUUUUCCUUCACCCUUCCUUCUACCAUUGUUUGAUCAUUUUCUAUAUGGAGGGAACAAGACGGCAACGACCCCGUUAUCCUUGCCCCAAUAUGAAAGAUGACGUGGUGGAGGAACUCAUUGAUCGGUGCGACAUCAUCACCUCGGCUAGCAUGGCUGGUUCGUUCAAGACCAUUCUCGACUCAACUAAUAACAUCAUUACAAGGAACCCAAGGGUCCAGGAGUGGUUUGAUCUCCCCUCUCUUCUUCGUCAUGACCCUGCUGACUUGCCCGGGGAUGACAGAAGCCUCGCGUUGUGCAAGUUGAUGCCGCUUGAUAAUGAUACGUGUGAUGUUAAGAUGCCAUCGCUUGAGGGCAAGGCUUGGGCAGGCGCAAAUGGAGAUUGGGUUGUUUAUAUUGGGUACAACUGCGAGUGGGAACUUGUGAAUGCGUACACUCGUCACCGGGUUCCACUUCCAAAAAUCUCAGACUUCCCAGAGGUUGAGUACACCGGUAUUCUACAUGAGUUCAAAUACAAUCAUGGUGACUAUCAUCUACGGAAGAUAGCAAUUUGUCAAGUUCCCAACCACUCUUGGGAUUACACGAACUAUGAAGUUGUUGCUAUCUUCGACAAGCUUGUUGCCGUCCUUACUUCCACGCCUCGAUGGAGAUUGCGUAAAAAUCAAUUUCUGUACAUGGAUGAGUGUUGGGGAUCGUAGCAGAAAUUUAAAAUUUUCUACGCAUCACCAAGAUCAAUCUAUGGAGUCAUCUAGCAACGAGAGGGAGAGGAGUGCAUCUACAUACCCUUGUAGAUCGCGAGCGGAAGCAUUCAAGAGAACGGGGUUGAUGGAGUCGUACUCGUUGUGAUCCAAAUCACCGAUGAUCACAACACCGAACGGACGGCACCUCCGCGUUCAACACACGUACGGAGCGAGGACGUCUCCCGUGCCUUGAUCCAGCAAGGAGGAGGGAGAGGUUGAGGAAAAGGGCUCCAACAGCAGCACGACGGCGUGGUGGUGGUGGAGCAGCAGUACUCCGGCAGGGCUUCGCCAAGCUCUUGCGGAGGAGAGGUGUUGGGGAGGGGAGGGGCUACGCCUUGGAUGUGGUGUGCAGCCCUCCCCUUGCCCCUCUAUUUAUAGGGGAAGGAGGAAGGGGGCCGGCCCCCUCUAGAUGAGAUCUAUAUGGGGGACGACGGCCAAGGGGAGGGGGCUUGCCCCCCAAGCAAGGGGGGCGCCCCCAUAGGGUUCCCCCCCCCCCAACCCUAGGCGCAUGAGCCAAAGGGGGGGAUGUGCCCAGCCCAUGUAGGGCUGGUUCCCUUUCCUCUACGGCCCAUUAGGCCCUCUGAGAGAGGUGGCCCCUCCCGGUGGACCCCCGGAACCCCUCCGGUGGCCCCGGUACAAUACCGAUAUGCCCCCGAACCUUUCCGAUGACCGUAUGACAACUUCCUACGUAUAAAUCUUCACCUUCGGACCAUUCUGGGACUCCUCGUGACGUCCGGGAUCUCAUCCGGGACUCCGAACAACAUUCAGUAAUCACAUACAAGUCUUCCUAAUAACCCUAGCGUCAUCGAACCUUAAGUGUGUAGACCCUAUGGGUUCGGGAACCAUGCCGACAUGACCGAGACAAUUCUCCGGCCAAUAACCAACAGCGGAAUCUAGAUACCCAUGUUGGCUCCCACAUGUUCCAUGAUGAUCUCAUCGGAUGAACCACGAUGUCGAGGAUUCAAGCAAUCCCGUAUACAAUUCCCUUUGUCAAUCGGUACGUUACUUGCCCGAGAUUUGAUCAUCGGUAUCCCAAUACCUCGUUCAAUCUCGUUACCGGCAAGUCACUUUACUCGUUCCGUAAUGCAUGAUCCCAUGACCAACAACUUAGUCACACUGAGCUCAUUAUGAUGAUGCAUUACCGGGUGGGCCCAGAGAUACCUCUCCGUCAUACGGAAUGACAAAUCCCAGUCUCGAUUCAUGCCAACCCAACAGACACUUUCGGAGAUACCUGUAGUGCACCUUUAUAGCCACCCAGUUACGUUGUGACGUUUGGUACACCCAAAGCACUCCUACGUUAUCCGGGAGUUGCACAAUCUCAUGGUCUAAGGAAAUGAUACUUGACAUUUAGAAAAGCUCUAGCAGACGAACUACACGAUCUUGUGCUAUGCUUAGGAUUGGGUCUUGUCCAUCACAUCAUUCUCCUAAUGAUGUGAUCUCGUUAUCAAUGACAUCCAAUGUCCAUGGUCAGGAAACCGUAACCAUCUAUUGAUCAACGAGCUAGUCAACUAGAGGCUCACUAGGGACAUGUUAUGGUCUAUGUAUUCACACAUGUAUUAUGAUUUCCGGAUAACACAAUUAUAGCAUGAACAAUAGACAAUUAUCAUGAACAAGGAAAUAUAAUAAUAACCAUUUUAUUAUUGCCUCUAGGGCAUAUUUCCUACAAUGAGUACUAUGAUGCAAUUCAAUACGAGGGUCUUGUGUUUGCUGCCAUCACUCGUGGCAUUGCUUUUGCAUGGAAUCCUGAUGCUUUCGGUACCUUUGUCUUCCACCGUAAUUAUAAUUGUUUCAUCCACAUGCAUGAGGGUUAGCUAGUUUCCCUUUACUAAUUAACCUUCUUUUGUUUCCAAGGUUCUGUGAACAUUCCACCACCUAUACUUGAAUUUUUUUAUAACCAAGGGGGAGAUGACGAUGUUGAUGAUCACGAGCAUGAGGACGAGCAGGAUCCAUAUACUCAGUGGCGCCCGACAACUUAUUCCGAUGGAUCACCUCUUCUUGUUUGUAUACAGGGCACUGCUAAUGUUACUAAGGAAGCAGGUGUUGUCUCGCAUGGUCGCACUCUCCGGACCUAUUCUGACAUCCGUUGCAGGGUAUUCGGGAUGGAUACUAGUGUACUAGCGCCAACACCUUCUCCCUGGUUCAGUAUUCAAAGUCUUGGAGGAAACUCGCUCUUCCUUGGACAAAACUAUCCAAUGAUGGUGGAAGGCGAUCCAGCUGCUGUUGACACAAUGUUAAUACCAUUUAUGAGAAGCAACUGUAUCUAUACCUCAGACAUUGCUAUGCUUCCCUACCAUCCCAAUAUGGGUCCUGACAUAGGUCGCUUCAACCUGGAUGAUCAGUCCUGCGUUGGUCUCGAGAUUGACAGUAGCUGGCCCUUCCCAGAGAAUCACUUCUGGUUCAAAGCAAGCGUUUCCAACGCCGACGAGUGGUUGAGCUGAAGUUCAUUUCAUCGCUUUGUUAUUUGUUGUGUGAGAAAAACUUUACUUUACUAGAAUGUUUUGUUGGAAAUGAUCUAUAAUCCAAGGCAUUGAAGGGAUGCACAAAUCCUACACUGCGAGGGAAGACCAUAGCUCUCACUUUGCAUACGGGUGUUCUAUCUAAAACAUUUGCAAUCAAGAGCUGCAGAAAUCCUGCUCGGCACAUUUUCCCUUGGCUUCCUAGGGAAGCUAUCGGUUUGCAUACGGGUGUUCUAACUAAAACGUUUACGAUGAGUGUUUUAUGUUUAAAUACCAUUGACAUUUUUUUAAGAAAAUCAUUUGAUAAGUCUGUACAUUAAGAGAGAAAAACGCAAGUUCAUUCAAACCAUAUCUUUCAUUCAGUCACACUGCGAAUUUAUAUUCGUAUGAUCGAGAAUUCGAGAUACAAUAUUAAACCCCCAAAAAACUAUUUCCUGCGGCGGCGUGCCGCGCCGUCGUUGUCGUUGUCAUUGUCGUUCUCCGGGACAACGUUGUUGAAGUCUUCAAGGCAGCACAAAAUGUUCUUCACUUGUAAAUCAAACAUCAUGUCGUCGCGUGAUCGACGGGCGGGGCACGGGACGACGGCAACUGGCGUUGCUGAGAGGUAGCGGUNNNNNNNNNNNNNNNNNNNNNNNNNNNNNNNNNNNNNNNNNNNNNNNNNNNNNNNNNNNNNNNNNNNNNNNNNNNNNNNNNNNNNNNNNNNNNNNNNNNNNNNNNNNNNNNNNNNNNNNNNNNNNNNNNNNNNNNNNNNNNNNNNNNNNNNNNNNNNNNNNNNNNNNNNNNNNNNNNNNNNNNNNNNNNNNNNNNNNNNNNNNNNNNNNNNNNNNNNNNNNNNNNNNNNNNNNNNNNNNNNNNNNNNNNNNNNNNNNNNNNNNNNNNNNNNNNNNNNNNNNNNNNNNNNNNNNNNNNNNNNNNNNNNNNNNNNNNNNNNNNNNNNNNNNNNNNNNNNNNNNNNNNNNNNNNNNNNNNNNNNNNNNNNNNNNNNNNNNNNNNNNNGGCAGGGGCACGGGCGCGGCCGGUGCAGCCAAACGCACGGGGGCGGCGCCACGGUGGGUGGAGGGGCGCGCACGGGCACGGGUGUUGGCGCUGGCAUCUACACGAGCUCGCGCGGGUCCGCGGAGACCUCGCCAACGCCCGCGGCUUCCAGCUCUGCGAUAGUGCUCGGCGACCAGCCCGUCAAUGCUACGGGGAUGGUCGCUGGCGCGGGGACGGGAGCCGGGGCAGCAAUUGCCAUAGCCAGCUCGUUUAGGGCCAUGUCCGUGGGGCCCCAUUCCUCCUUAUUUUCUAUCUCCUCCGGCUCAGAGUCGACUUCACCAAACUUGAAGACUAGUGGCAUAUGAUUAUUCUGCGGCAUGGCGUUGGUGGAGGUCUGCGGGAGGGAGGGAAAUGGGAGGUGUGGGCGUCCUGGAUUAGGGGGUCUCCGGACAGCCAGACUAUAUCCAUUGGCCGGAUUGUUAGACUAUGAAGAUACAAGAUUGAAGACUUCGUCUCGUGUCUGGAUGGGACUCUACUUGGCGUGGAAGGCAAGCUAGGCAAUACGGAUAUGUGUAUCUCGUCCUUUGUAACCGACCUUGUGUAACCCUAACCCUCUCCGGUGUCUAUAUAAACCGGAGGGUUUUAGUCUGUAGGACAACAUACAAUCAUACCAUAGGCUAGCUUCUAGGGUUUAGCCUCUCUGAUCUCGUGGUAGAUCUACUCUUGUACUACCCAUAUCAUCAAUAUUAAUCAAGCAGGACAUAGGGUUUUACCUCCAUCAAGAGGGCCCAAACCUGGGUAAAACAUUGUGUCCCAUGCCUCAUGUUACCAUCCGCCUUAGACGCGCAGUUCGGGACCCCCUACCCGAGAUCCGCCGGUUUUGACACCGACAUUGGUGCUUUCAGUGAGAGUUCCUCUAUGUCGUCGCUGUUAGGCUUGAUGGCUCCUACUAUCAUUGAUGGCGAUGCUGUCCAGGGUGAGACUUCUCUCCUCGGACAGAUCUUCGUGUCCGGCGGCUUUGCACUGCGGGCCAAUUCGCUUGGCCAUGGAGCAGAUUGAAAGUUACGCCCCUGGCCACCAGGUCAGGUUUGGAAGCUUAAACUACACGGUCGAUAUCCGCGGAGACUUGAUCUUCGACGGAUUCGAGCCUCUGCCUUGUGCGCCACGUGGUCACGAUAAGUACGAUUUAGCUCUACCAUCGGACAGUGUUAAGGAGAUCGCACCGGCAGCCGCUCCGACCCUCAAUUCGGAGGCAGUUGCGCCUUCCGCGGACGGGUGGAUGGACCCCGCCACGGAGGCCUUACCCUCAGCGGCGAUCGAGUCGAACAUCGACUUUACCUUGCACGAGAGCCGUGUUGUUAAACUGCCGGAUACUUCUCCGGCCACGGACUCCGAACCGCCUGUGCCCGUUCCGAUCGAAUCCGGUUGGAUGCCAAUCAUGGAGUUUACCUCCACGGAUAUCUUUCAGCACUCGCCCUUCGGUGAUAUACUGAAUUCAUUAAAAUCUCUCUCCUUGUCAGGAGAAUCCUGGCUGAACUAUGACCGGCAGGAUUGGGAUGCGGACGACGAAGAAAUUCGCCGCCCACCCACCACCCACUUAAUAGCCACUGUCGAUGACUUAACCAACAUGCUCGACUCCGACUCUGAAGACAUCGACGGUAUAGACGACGAUGCAGGAGACGAACAGGAACCACUGCCCACAGGGCACCGGACGCCCACUUCACCACAUGAUGUAUACAUGGUGGACACACCAAAAGAAAACGACGACGAGGAAUAGAAGGACGCAACAAAGGGUUGUUCCCUCGAGAAGCAGUCAAAACGGCGGCGUAAGCGCCGCCUCAAAUCCCGCCUCGGUAGAAACAACGAUCAUACAGACCCACCAUUAGAGCAGAGGGAACCAUUGCCGGACGACGGCAACACAGAGAAUCAAGCCGAACAACCCGACUCUGUCAAAGAUCAUAGUCCAGAUGACGUCACACUAGACAGACACCCGGAGCAACAGAAUGCCCAUCAAAGGCUCGUUGCCACUACGAGGAGUCUAAAAAAGCAUAAGCAAAGGCUCAAGGCUGCGCAAGACACACUCCAAAUCAGAUGGAGCAAAGUACUCAACACAGCAGCGAAGUACGGCGGUAAUCGCCCCACCAAGAGCUACUCGAAGCGGAUGUUGCUACCUGAAUUCGAUGAGGAGGCCUUAGAUCCCCCACAACCAAAAAUCAAAACAGCCAUCUGGCCGGUUAGGCGACCUCAUGGCCAACAUAGAGCGGCAAACAACGCCGCACAUAAGCCAAUACGCGAUCCACGCAAGGACUCGCAUCAAAAGGACGGCGCAACCAGAUCCAUCUAUGGACCACGUAAGCGCGCUCCAGCAUACAAUGCAACACAACAAACAUCCAAACAACGCGGUACACCCAGAUACAGGGGUGCCGCACACCCCCUAUGUUUCACCAAUGAGGUGCUGGACCAUGAAUUUCUAGAGGGAUUCAAACCCGUAAAUAUAGAGGCAUACGAUGGAACAAUAGACCCUGGGGUCUGGAUUGAGGACUAUAUCCUCCAUAUCAAUAUGGCUCGAGGAGAUGACCUCCACGCCAUUAAGUAUUUACCCCUCAAACUCAAAGGGCCAGGUAGGCACUGGCUUAAGAGCCUCCCCGAAAGCUCCAUUGGAAGCUGGGAAGAGCUCAAAGAUGCUUUUCGGGAAAAUUUUCAAGGGACUUACGUCCGACCUCCGGACGCGGAUGAUUUGAGUCAUAUAACUCAACAGCCCGGAGAGUCAGCCUGAAAGCUUUGGAACAGGUUUCUUACCAAAAAUAACCAAAUAGUCGACUGUCCGGACGCCGAAGCCUUGGCAGCUUUUAAGCAUAGCGUCAGUGACGAAUGGCUUGCCAGACACCUCGGCCAAGAAAAGCAGAGAACAAUGGCAGCAUUAACAAGCCUCAUGACCCGCUUUUGCGCGGGUGAGGAUAGCUGGCUAGCCAGAUGCAGCAUCAGUGACCCCAAUACAUCCGAAGUUAGAGAUGGAAACGGGAAAUCACGGCGCAACAACAAUAACAAACGCCGGAAUAAAGAAGACAGCACGAAGAGCACGGCAGUAAACGCCGGAUUCAGAAGCUCUCGGCCAGGUCUGCAAAAGCCGCCCUCUAAAGGCACGAGAGACGAACUGUCCAGCCUAAACAAAAUUCUGGACCAAAUAUGUCAGAUCCAUAGCACCCCUGGUAAACCCGCUAAUCAUACCCACAGAGAAUGUUGGGUCUUCAAGCAGUCCGGCAAGCUCAAUGCCGUACACAAGGGGGAGGAUACACCAAGCGAAGACGAGGAUGAGCCUCUCAAGCAAGACACUGGGGAACAAAAGAAGUUUCCACUAGAAGUCAAAACAGUCAACGUGUUACACGUGAUCAAGGGGAGAAACAAAGCGGCACUCCUAGAAAAAUAUGCCCAAGGGCCUAUCACCGCGGAGUCCUGCCACUGGUCGUCUCAACCGAUCACUUUCGACCAUCGUGAUUACUCAGCAAGUAUCCGGCGUGCAGGAUGGGCUUCCCUGGUAUUAGACCCAAUAAUUGACGGAUACCACUUCACACGAGUCCUGAUGGACGGUGGCAGCAGUCUAAACCUAAUAUACCAGGAUACAAUCCGCGAAAUGGGGAUAGACCCAACGAAAAUUUGCCAUAGCAAAACUACCUUUAAAGAAGUAACGCCAGGCCCAGGGGCUCACUACACGGGCUCCCUGCUACUAAAGGUUAUAUUCAGCUUCCCCGAUAACUCCCGUAGCGAACAUUUAACCUUCCACAUUGCUCCAUUCCAAAGUGGCUAUCAAGCACUACUUGGACGCGAAGCUUUCGCUCGCUUUAAUGCAAUACUGCAUUACGCUUCCCUCACGCUCAACAUGCCCGGUCCACGUGGCAUCAUUACAGUGAAUGGAAAUAUUGAGCGAUCUUUGCGCACCGAAAAGAGUGCGACUGCCUUGGCAGCCGCACACUAAAAACGGCCUCACCAACUAAAGCAUUUGAUAGGUCGUCAAGACCACGGACACGGUUAGACGUGUCCGCACAGCUAUAUGUAAUUCAUACCAGAUUGAUGGCCACACCCCUAUUACAAAUACAAGGGGCUCAACGCGCGCAGACAAGUGGCAAUUUUUACUCAUCUUUAAUUAUACAUGGUUUCUUUAAAAACCUUUUUGCACGACAACUUUUCACCUAAGUUCCUCUCUUUUACAGAUGACCAUCGUGCUACACCCGUCCAGGAUACGGCACAACGGAGACACGGGCGCAGACGUGCAGCAGGGACCCGCUCCAAGGAUUCUUUUUAGAUUAAGACCCUGCGUAAACCUUUUUUACUGUCUCUUGUUGAUACACAUCCCUCGGAUUCUCAGUACAAUUGAGAAGGAUGCUGACGUCUUGGCAUGUGGCCACAUCAGAAUAACGCACGUACCUGGACACAAGGGGCUUCUUACAAAGGGCACUAUUUAGGCCCGGUUUAUACCAUAAAGACCGAAUACCUUAGGGAGUGUUCGGCGUCGCAAGGUUGGCCUUAUAUGCAUCAGCUCCGAAUCAUGUCUUUGGUUAAAUGUUGGGUUUGCCCGGCUCCUGUGUUUUGGUGCCUUGCAUUCCGUUUUAUCGGCUAAGGCAGCACCAGGAGAACUACUAUGAUUGUGCCCUGUUUCAUUCGGACGAGCACCUCAGUAGAGAAAGCCGAAAACUGACUGUCAUGAUAUAGCGCGAGACUGGUCAACCACUCGAUGACCUAUCGGAAUGUUAGAAUUCCUCCGCUUUAAUGAAGGGUGGUUUCCCGGCCAGGCAUAUACGCACCCCGAGUUCGAGAGAGUGCGGAGCCACCAGGGGCUAUAUAGUAGCCCCACCGUCAAACUCCUAUGGCUAAGUGAAAGUGUUAAAGCAUCAUAGUCCGGUUGCCUCGUUUGCUGCGCUAUCACCUCCUUAUUAGGACCAAGACGUUGGGUUAAGUGUGAACACGCGUCUUCUGCGAGCACCUCCGCAUUAUAUGCGUGGGGGUUGAAGCCGACGACUGCAAUCUUUCAGGUUAUAUACAUAUAUACAUAAACGGCCGCACAGGAGGCAUCAUAUUACUUUCAGGCAAAAGUAUAAAUACAGCCUUAAUACAUUUCAUAAAAACAUUGUGUUUACAAUGGGAAUACAUGUCACUCAAACAUAAUAUUCUUCGAGCACUCGGCCUCUACCAAAUGAGCACCCUCAAGAACCUCUUCAAAAUAGUGCUCGGUAGCCACUCGGCCUAUGGCCGAAACUUGCACCGCAACAGUGGCAGCAUCCAUCUCCGCCCAGCAUGCUUUGACACGGGCAAAGGCCAUCCGCGAGCCUUCUAUGCACGUCGACCUCUUCAUCGCAUUGAUGCGCGGCACCACAUCAAGGAACUGCUGCACUAAGCUGAAACAGUUGUUCGGCUUCGGCUUCUCCGACCACAAAUGAUCUACGACGGACCUCAUGGCAAGUCCGGACAACCUAUUAAGUUUGGCCCAUUCGGCUAGCUGAUCAGUCAAGGGAAGCGGAUGCUCUGGAACGUUAAACUGCGACCAGAACAGCUUGUCCACUUCACGAUCUCUCUGAUCUCAGAAGUAUUCGACCGCAUCGACAGGGCUCGCUGCCAAGUCCAUAUAUGCGUCUGCCGAACUCCACAGCCGAUCCAGAGGGGCAUACCGUGGAUCUCCGAACUUCCUCUGCAGCAGAAAGGGCUUCCCAGCCGCAAUAUCCCCGACUUCACGCAGCUCCUCCUUCUUCACCCUCAUAGCAGAGCGAGUGUCUUUGGUCGCCAUCGUGGCCUUUUCAAGGUCCGCUGCCUUCACUCGGUUCUCUUCUUCUAGGAACUGGCAACGGUCGGUAGUGUCUUUUAAUUUUACGGCCAUCUUGGCCAUCUUCUCUUUGCUUUCGCAAUGCGCGGCCUUCUCGGCUCUUAACUCUUCAGUCGCCUUCAAAGCAGCCGCAUUACUAACUCUUGCUUCUUCCUUGGCUCGGGCAAGUUCCGCCCGAAGGGUCUCCACGUGGCAGCUCCGUCUGCAGUCACAACAUAUUAAAGAUACUGGCAUCAUGCUGCUCUUAUUAUGUGACAUUCACCAGAAAACAUUACUUACCCCGUGACUCGUCAAGCCGCUUGUUAACAAGCUCGAUGUCGGCGUCUGCCGCAUCCAGUUGCUGCUUUAGUUCGGCAAACUCAUUAGUCCGGCUAGCCACCGAAGCUUCCACCACCUGCACAUAAAGGCAGCCUGGUUAUUACCUGGGACUAUGAUCCUCUGUUCGCCGCCGUUCUCGACGACAACCAGAGUCUCAGGGGCUACUAUCUACACAGGGCACACCUAACAUGUGCGGUACUAUCAAAAAGUAUAUCAUUUCAUGUACCUCAAAGCCUGUCAGAAGACUCAUAAAGGCUUCAUGUAAUCCGCUUUCGGCGGACGAAAUUCUUUCCAUCACCGUACCCAUCAACGUACGGUGUUCUUCUGAGAUGGCCGCCUGCUUCAACAGCUCCCUCAGAACAUCCGACCGCAUACCAGACGGUGCCGGACUCUUUUGUUUUCUCUCUUCGAGAGCUGGACGCUGGGGACUUCGGGUGACUAUAGGAUUAUCUUCUGGCCACACCGGAUCCGGAGAGGCCCUCCGUGACGACACUUCAAGGUCGCCCGCUUCUUGAGCGGGGGAGUCCGGGGGAGGCAUUUCGCUCUCCAUCAUCUCCGGAAGAAGAUCCCCCGAAGACGAGCUCAGCUGAGAAGGGCUAAGAUCUGAACUACAAGAUAUAUGCUUCGGUUAUUUUCCUCAGAGGAAAGGUAGUAUAUCUUCACUAUUAAAGUAUUUUUUAUCACUUAUGGCUCGUUAGAGGGCUGAUCCCCGCGUGGACUUUGUGUGGCAAGAGCACCCCCCGAGGCAGGACCCUCUGUUGGAGACUUCUUCUCCCGUUUGGAAGCCUCGGUUUCUGGAUCCUCAUAGGCAGUCCUCCUCCUCCCCCGUAGUGAGAGAAGGUCAGAGUCUUCUGCUUGGUUAUCCUCCCUUAUGGAGGCGCUCAUUCCCUCGGUUGGAACUGGCAGCAAUGGGGGCCCGCUUUCGCCCACAUUAUUCCCCCCCCCCGUAUCUUCCUUCGAGGGCUCCAGGCAAGGUGCGAGCUCGAGCAUCUUUUCCAGUACCGGAUUUUCCAAACCCUCAGGGAGGCGGGCCGAACACCGAAUCAUCUUCUCCUUUUUUAGCCAGUCCUGGUCAAAGGGCAAUUUCUCAGAAACGACGUCAUGAUAAAUAAAAGAUAGUGUGUUCAGCUAGAGGAUUACUUACUUGGUCAGCGGUGCAGUUGCUACUCAGGCCCACGUCCUCGGUAGUAUCCGGACACUCUGCUUGAGGUCCGAAGAAUGACUUGUACAUCUCCUCGUGCGUCAGGCCGAGGAAACUUUGAAUAGCGCGUGGUCCUUCUGGGUUGAAUUCCCACAAGCGAAGGGGCCGGCGUUUGCAAGGCUAGACUCGACGAACCAGCAUGACUUGCAUUACCAUAACCAAAUUAAAACCUCCCUCGAAGAGAUCUUGAAUGCGGCUUUGCAGUAUAGGCACGUCCUUGGCUGGACCCCAACUCAGCCCUCUACUAAUCCAUGACAUCAGUUGUGGUGGGAGGCCCGAGCGGAAAGCGGGGGCAGCCACCCACUUGGCACUUCUGGGAGCUGUGAUGUAAAACCACUCCCGUUGCCAUAAUCCGGACACCUCUGAAAAGGAACCUUUUGGCCACGGAGCUCCCGCAAUCUUGCUUAUUAAUGCUCCUCUGCAUGCUACGUGCUGUCCCUCAAUUGUCAUCGGCUUCACAUCAACGGUCUUGAGCCACAGGCCGAAGUGAGGGGUAAUGCAGAGGAAGGCCUCACACACGACAAUAAAUGCCGAGAUGAGAAGAAAGGAGUCCGGGGCUAGAUCGUGGAAGUCUAUCCCGUAAUAAAACAUCAAACCCCUUACGAAGGGAUCUAGAGUGAGGCCUAGACCUUGGAGGAAGUGGGAGAUGAACACGACGUCUUCGUUGGGUUCAGGAGUAGGGACGACUUGCCCUCGGGCAGGCAGCCGAAGCGAAACCUCGGCGGUCAGGUAUCUGGCCUCCCUCAACUUCUUGAUGUCUUCUUCUGUAACGGAGGAGGGCAUCCAUCGGCCUUGAAGGCUGGAUCCGGACAUGAUUGAAGGUCCGGAGCACCUGACCUAGGCUUUGGGUGUUAGAACUCGAGGCGGGGGAAGGAUUCGAUUGAGCACGGGAGGGGAAAAAGUAAAUGCCUUGGCCCUUUAAAGAGGGUGAAUAUCAAGCGUCCUCUCCGUGGCCGUUUGGGACUUGCCUAUAAUCUAGGAGUCCUAGACGCGGUUGGGUUACCCACGCCCGUAUUGAUAAGAAUCCCGUGAUAAGGGGACACGAUCUUUGCUUUAGCGAGACGUGUCAAAAAACUGCCUUGCGCUAUGUGCGGGGCUAGUUAAAAGAAACGGUUCGAAUAAUCACUGGGCUGUGACAUAAUGUCGUGUUGCCAAAACAAGUUAGCAAAUUGGAUUUGUGGAAAUAUUAUUCUCUCUACGGUGGUAUGUGGGACUUAUUUUGCAGGGUCACACACUAUCCUUAUAUUCAAAUUCUUCCAUGGUGUAUUCGGAGGAGGAACCCGCCUUGCAAUGCCGAAGACAAUACUGCACGUCGGACUCAUCGUCAUUGAAAGCCUGGUUCAGGGGCUACUAUGGGAGUCCUAGAUUAGGGGGUCUCUGGACAGCCGGACUAUAUCCAUUGGCCGGACUGUUAGACUAUGAAGAUACAAGAUUGAAGACUUCGUCUCGUGUCCGGAUGGGACUCUACUUGGCGUGGAAGGCAAGCUAGGCAAUACGGAUAUGUGUAUCUCCUCCUUUGUAACUGACCUUGUGUAACCCUAACCCUCUCCGGUGUCUAUAUAAACCGGAGGGUUUUAGUCCGUAGGACAACAUACAAUCAUACCAUAGGCUAGCUUCUAGGGUUUAGCCUCUCUGAUCUCAUGGUAGAUCUACUCUUGUACUACCCAUAUCAUCAAUAUUAAUCAAGCAGGACGUAGGGUUUUACCUCCAUCAAGCGGGCCCGAACCUGGGUAAAACAUUGUGUCCCCUGCCUCCUAUUAACAUCCGCCUUAGACGCAUAGUUCGGGACCCCCUACCCGAGAUCCGCUGGUUUUGACACCGACAGGAGGCGAACAGUAAGGCCCCCAUAUUAAACAUCGGCUCGGGGGCCAUUAAUGGAGAGGAAGGCGGGCGGCCAUGGAAGUCAAAGGGCUUGCUUCCCAGUGAGCCUGCGUUGCGUAUAGCUCACACGCUUCCUGGUGAGCCUGCACAUUGGAGGACAGCUUGCACGCCUCUCGGUCAGCCUGCACACCUGUCGGUGUCAAAACCGGUGGAUCUCGGGUAGGGGGUCAUGAAGUGUGCGUCUAAGGUCGAUGGUAAUAGGAGACAGGGGACACGAUGUUUACCCAGGUUUGGGCCCUCUCUAUGGAGGUAAUACCCUACGUCCUGCUUGAUUGAUAUUGAUGAAUACGAGUAUUACAAGAGUUGAUCUAUCUCGAGAUCGUAAUGGCUAAACCCUAGAAGUCUAGCCUGUAUGACUAUGGUAAUGAGUAUAUCUAUCUUUCCGGACUAAGUCCUCCGGUUUAUAUAGACAUCAGGAGGAUCUAGGGUUACACAAGGUCGGUUACAAAGAAAGGAAUCUACAUAUCUGGUUGCUAAGCUUGCCUUCCACGCCAAGGAGAGUCCCGUUCGGACAUGGGUGCAGUCUUCGGUCUUUGUAUCUUCACAGCCCAUCAGUCCGGCCCAUGGGUAACAGGCCGGACGCCCGAGGACCCCCUAGUCUAGGACUCCCUCAGUAGCCCCCAAACCAGGCUUCAAUGAUGAGGUGUUCGGCACGCGGAUUGUCUUCGAUUUUGCAAGGCGGGUUCCUCCUCUGACGACUUCCAAGUAAUGGAUUCGACUUAUAAUUCAAUACCAGACCCCUUAGCUUCUGUGCAUCUUUGGCUUCAGCUUCCACGUGUCGGGUGAAAACGGACGGGCAUGGUAUUUUUUGCACAUAACACCCCGGCCACACAAGAAAGAGCGUCCAUUUAAAGAGAUUGGGUCUCAGAUCCAUUCGGCACCACGCGGAGAAAAUCCUCAGAGAGUAACAGGAAAGACCAUUCCAACAUGGCUAAUAUUCCCACCUCCUCCUCCCGUUCCGACCCAAAGAAAGGCGAGUGGGAGAGGUGCUCUAUGCUCCACAGUCAAUUGGAGAAGUUGCAAACGCAGGGAUUUCUCCCUCCUGCAGAUCUGGUUCCCGUUCGAGCGGGGUUGGCCUCCUUCAACGGCAAAACCUAGGCGGAGGAUUUCCCCAAUCCAUCCGCGGGGGAACGAGUGUGUCUCAUCCCCUAUUUGCUAAGGGGCGUGGGAUUUCCAAUCCAUCCCUUCCUACGAGGUCUGCUAGAGUAUUAUGGCCUCCAACUGCACAGUCUGACUCCUGCCUCUAUCCUUCAUAUUGCGGGUUAUGUCGCUCUAUGCGAGCUAUUCCUGGGCUGCAAGGCCCAUUUCGAUUUUUGGAGAAGACUGUUCUGCCUCGUCCCUCGUAAUCAAGGUGGGUCAAUUUUUGAAGUGGGAGGAACCUAAGUGUGGCGCAUCGCCGGACCGGAUACCUAUUCGGCACGCGGAAGACAGCCUCCGAAGAGUGGCCUUCUGAAUGGUUCUACAUUGACGACGUCGCUCUACCCGACCCCGUCCGUAUGGGCCUCCCCGAGUUUUCAAGUGCUCCAUUGAAGAAACGCCAUAGCUGGCAUCCUCGGAGCCUCGAGGAAGAGGACAAUGCAGAGAUCAGCCUGCUGCUGGGCAAGAUUAAGACGCUCGCCCAUUCCGGAUUGUCAAUAGUCGAGGUAAUGGCGAUCUCUAUAGCACGAGGGGUCCAGCCACUCCAAUAAAGAGGGCUGCCCAUGUGGCAUUAUAACAGGGAAGACGACGCCUCACGCUAUGGUCGGAAGGGCCCGAAGACCCCGCCACCCUGGCUAAAAUACUGGACGAGCUGUAUAAAGGGGAGAAGGAGGAGUUCACCCAUCUCCAAUAUCGAGAAGGAUUUUCCAUGUAUAAUCCUCCCAGCUGGGUAAGCUUCAGCUCCACUAUUUUACUCCUGUCCCUGAAUCAUUCUUAAUAGGCAGUAUCUUAUCCACUUAUAACAGGAAUGACGAAAGGCCGUCGAGGGGAUCCAAGACCCGGCUCCUCAGCCGGAGAAUCGCAACCGGGAUCUUGACGCCGGAUAUGAAGAAGAUCCGGACAUAUUUGUGGAGCUCGAGGAUGGAAUAUUCUAUCAGAUGAGCUAUGAAGGUACAGAUGUACCCAUCAUCGCCGAUUACCCCGGUCUCCUUCCUACUUCACAUGUAAGUAAUCCGGAGAUACCUUGUCCAAGAGAGUUUUCUCAUUCCUCCUCACCCACCGCACUGUCCUGUGCUCAAAAGGGGAGGUGUUCGGCGCGCCAUGCUGCCCCGGGGUCAUCUCUGAAGAGAGCGUCUACUACCUCUUGAGCACUGCGUUGGUUUUCCCUUGAAGAGGAAAGGGUGAUGCAGGAAAGUAGUGUAAGUAUUUCCCUUAGUUUUUGAGAACCAAGGUAUCAAUCCAGUAGGAGAUCACGCUCGAGUCCCACGCACCUACACAAACAAAUAAGAACCUCGCAACCAACGCGAUAAAGGGGUUGCCAAUCCCUUCACGGUCACUUACGAGAGUGAGAUCUGAUAGAUAUGAUAAGAUAAUAUUUUUGGUAUUUUUAUGAUAAAGAGAAAUAAAGAUGCAAAGUAAAAUAAAUGGCAAAGGAAAUAACUAAGUGUUGGAAGAUUAAUAUGAUGGAAGAUAGACCCGGGGGCCAUAGGUUUCACUAGUGGCUUCUCUCAAGAGCAUAAGUAUUAUGGUGGGUAAACGAAUUAAUGUCGAGCAGUUGAUAGAAUUGAGCAUAGUUAUGAGAAUAUCUAGGUAUGAUCAUGUAUAUAGGCAUAACGUCCGCGACAAGUAGACCGAAACGAUUCUGCAUCUACUACUAUUACUCCACACAUCAACCGCUAUCCAGCAUGCAUCUAGAGUAUAAAGUUCAUAAGAUAUAAACCCCAUCUUUUAUCCUCGAUGGCAACAAUACAAUAAGUGACGUUUCCCUUUCUGUCAGUGGGAUCGAGCACCGCAAGAUUGAACCCAAAGCUAAGCACUUCUCCCAUUGCAAGAAAGAUCAAUCUAGUAGGCCAAACCAAACUGAUAAUUCGAAGAGACUUGCAAAGAUAAACCAAUCAUACAUAAAAGAAUUCAGAGGAGAUUCAAAUAUUGUUCAUAGAUAAACUGGAUCAUAAACCCACAAUUCAUCGGAUCUCGACAAACACACCGCAAAAGAAGAUUACAUCGAAUAAAUCUCCAAGGAGAUCGAGGAGAACUUUGUAUUGAGAUCCAAAGAGAGAGAAGAAGCCAUCUAGCUAAUAACUAUGGACCCGUAGGUCUGAAGUAAACUACUCACACAUCACCGGAGAGGCCAUGGAGUUGAUGUAGAGGCCCUCUGUGAUCAAUGCCCCCUCCGGUGGAGCUCCGGAAAAGGCCCCGAGAUGGGAUCUCUUGGGUACAGAAGGUUGCGGCGGUGGAAUUAGGUUUUCGUGGUGCUCCUGGAUGUUUGGGGGGUACAUGGACUUAUAUAGGAGGAAGAAGUACAUCGAUGGAGCAACGAGGGGCCCACGAGGGUGGAGGGUGCGCCCCCUGCCUCGUGCCCUCAUUGUUUAUUUCUUGACGCCCACUCCAAGUCUCUUGGAUCACGUUUGUUGAGAAAAUCACGUUCCCGAAGGUUUCAUUCCGUUUGGACUCCGUUUGAUAUUCCUUUUCUACGAAACCCUAAAAUAGGCAAAAAAACAAUUUGGGCUGGGCCUCCGGUUAGUAGGUUAGUCCCAAAAAUGAUAUAAAAGUGUAAAAUAAAGCCCAUUAACAUCCAAAAUAGAUAAUAUAAUAGCAUGGAGCAAUCAAAAAUUAUCGAUACGUUGGAGACAUAUCAAGCAUCCCCAAGCUUAAUUCCUGCUCGUCCUCGAGUAGGUAAAUGAUAAAAGAAGAAUUUUUGAUGUGGAAUGCUUUCUAACAUAUUUCUCAAUGUAAUUUUUCUUUAUUGUGGCAUGAAUGUUCAGAUCCGAAAGAUUCAAGAUAAAAGUUUAAUAUUGACAUAGAAAUAAUAAUAUUUCAAGCAUACUAACUAAGCAAUUAUGUCUUCUCAAAAUAACAUGGCCAAAGAAAGUUAUCCCUACAAAAUCAUAUAGUCUGGCUAUGCUCUAUAUUCACCACACAAAAUAUUUAAAUCAUGCACAACCCCGAUGACAAUCCAAGCAAUUGUUUCAUACUUUUGAUGUUCUCAAACUUUUUCAAUCUUCACGCAAUAUAUGAGUGUGGGCCAUGGAUAUAGCACUAUAUGUGGAAUAGAAUGGUGGUUGUGGAGAAGACAGAAAAGGAGAAGAUAGUCUCACAUCAACUAGGCGUAUCAACGGGCUAUGGAGAUGCCCAUCAAUAGAUAUCAAUGUGAGUGAGUAGGGAUUGCCAUGCAUCAGAUGCACUAGAGCUAUAAGUAUAUGAAAGCUCAACAAAAGAAACUAAGUGGGUGUGCAUCCAACUUGCUAGCUCAUGAAGACCUAGGGCAUUUUGAGGAAGCCCAUCAUUGGAAUAUACAAGCCAAGAUCAUGGUGCUACUUUGAAGCACAAGUGUGGGAAAGGAUAGUAGCAUUGUCCCUUCUCUCUUUUUCUCUCAUUUUUUUUAUUUGGGCCUUCUUUUUUUUGGCAUCUUUUCUCUUUUUUUCGUCUGGAGUCUCAUCCCGACCUGUGGGGGAUUCAUAGUCUCCAUCAUCCUUUCCUCACUUGGGACAAUGCUCUAACAAUGAUGAUCAUCACAAUUUAUUUACUUACAACUCAAGAAUUACAACUCGAUACUUAGAACAAAAUAUGACUCUAUGUGAAUGCCUCCGGCGGUGUACCGGGAUGUGCAAUGAUGCAUGAGUGACAUGUAUGAAGAAUUAUGAGCGGUGGCUUUGCCACAAAUACGAUGUCAACUACAUGAUCAUGCAAGCAACAUGACAAUGAUGAAGCGUGUCAUAAUAACGGAACGGUGGAAAGUUGCAUGGCAAUAUAUCUCGGAAUGGCUAUGGAAAUGCCAUAAUAGGUAGGUAUGGUGGCUAUUUUCAGGAAGGUAUAUGGUAGGUUUAUGGUACCAACAAAAGUUGCGCGAUACUAGAGAGGCUAGCAAUGGUGGAAGGGUGAGAGUGUGUAUAAUCCAUGGACUCAACAUUAGUCAUAAAGAACUCACAUACUUAUUGCAAAAAUCUAUUAGUUAUCGAAACAAAGUAUUACGCGCAUGCUCCUAGGGGGAUAGAUUGGUAGGAAAAGACCAUCGCUCGUCCCCAACCGUCACUCAUAAGGAAGACAAUCAAUAAAUAAAUCAUGCUACGACUUCAUCACAUAACAAUUCACCAUACGUGCAUGCUACGUGAAUCACAAACUUCAACACAAGUAUUUCUCAAAUUCACAACUACUCAACUAGCAUGACUCUAAUAUCACCAUCUCCAUCUCUCAAAACAAUUAUCAAGUAUCAAACUUCUCAUAGUAUUCAAUGCACUUCUAUGAAAGUUUUUAUAUUAAAGAAAGUUUCCAUGUUGUUAUAGAGUACUCUCAAAAUAAUAUAAGUGAAGCAUGAGAGAUCAAUUAUUUCUCUAAAAUAAAACCACCGCCGUGCUCUAAAAGAUAUAAGUGAAGCACUAGAGCAAAAACUAUAUAGCUCAAAAGAUAUAAGUGAAGCACAUAGAGUAUUCUAAUAAAUUUCAAAUCAUGUGUGUCUCUCUCAAAAGGUGUGUACAGCAAGGAUGAUUGUGGUAAACUAAAAAGUAAAGACUCAAAUCAUACAAGUCGCUCCAAGCAAAACACAUAUCAUGUGGUGAAUAAAAAUAUAGCUCCAAGUAAAGUUACCGGUAGACGAAGACGAAAGAGGGGAUGCCUUCCGGGGCAUCCCCAAGCUUAGGGUUUUUGGUGUCCUUGAAUUUUACCUUGGGGUGCCAUGGGCGUACCCAAGCUUAGGAUCUUGCCACUCUUUGUUCCAUAAUCCAUCAAAUCUUUACCCAAAACUUGAAAACUUCACAACACAAAACUCAAAAUAGAAAAUCUCGUGAGCUCCGUUAGCGAAAGAAAACAAAACACCACUUCAAGGUACUGUAAUGAACUCAUUCUUUAUUUGUGUUGGUGUUAAAACUACUGUAUUCCAACUUCUCUAUGGUUUAUAAACUCUUUUACUAGCCAUAGAUUCAUCAAAAUAAGCAAACAACACAAGAAAAACAGAAUCUGUCAAAAACAGAACGGUCUGUAGUAAUCGGUAGCUAACGCAGCUUAUGGAACCCCAAAAAUUCUAAAAUAAAUUUCUGUACGUGAGUAAUUUAUAUAUUAAUCAUCUUCAAAAAUAAUUAACUAAAUAGCACUCUUCAAAUAGAAAUGGCAGCGAUUCUCGUGAGCGCUAAAGUUUCUGUUUUUUACAGCAAGAUCAAAAAGACUUUCCCCAAGUCUUCCCAACAGUUAUACUUGGCACAAACACUAAUUAAACACAAAAAUAUAACCAAAACAGAGGCUAGAUAAAUUAUUUAUUACUAAAGAGGAGAAAAAAAUCAAGGAAUAAAAAUAAAAUUGGGUUGCCUCCCAACAAGCGCUAUCGUUUAACGCCCCUAGCUAGGCAUAAAAGCUAAGAUAGAUCUAGGUAUUGCCAUCUUUGGUAGGCAAUCCAUAAGUGGCUCUCAUAAUAGAUUCAUAUGGUAAUUUAAUUUUAUUUCUAGGAAAUUUUUCCAUGCCUUUCUUUAAUGGAAAUUGGAAUUUAAUAUUCCUUUCCUUCAUAUCAAUAAUUGCACCAAUCGUUCUAAGGAAAGGUCUACCAAGAAUAAUAGGACAUGAAGGAUUGCAAUCUACAUCAAGAACAAUGAAAUCUACGGGCACAUAAUUCUUAUUUGCAACAACAAUAACAUCAUUAAUUCUUCCCAUAAGUUUCUUAAUAGUGGAAUCCACAAGGUGCGAGUUUAAAGAACAAUCAUCAAAAUCACGGAAACCUAGCAAAUCACAUAAAGUUUUGGAAUCGUGGAAACACUAGCACCCAAAUCACACAAAGCAUAACACUCAUCAUAUUUAAUUUUAAUUUUUAUUGUAGGUUCUCACUCAUAAUAAAGUUUUCUAGGGAUAGAAACUUCCAACUCAAGUUUUUCUUCAUAAGAUUGCAUCAAAGCAUCAACGAUAUGUUUAGUAAAAGCUUUAUUUUGACUAUAAGCAUGAGGAGAAUUUAGCACGGAUUGCAACAAGGAAAUACAUUCUAUCAAAGAGCAAUUAUCAUAAUUAAAUUCCUUGAAAUCCAAGAUAGUGGGUUCAUUACUAUUUAAAGUUUUGACCUCUUCAAUCCCACUUUUACCAAAUUUUGCAUCAAAAUCUAAAAACUCCGAAUUUUUGGAACGCCUUCUAGGUAAAGUGGCUCAUCUUCAGUCCCAUCAUUAUCAAGAUUCAUAUUGCAAAUCAAAGAUUUAAUAGGACACACAUCCAUAACUUUUAGAUCUUCAUCUUUAUUUUCAUGGAAACUAGAAGAACGCACUUUCACAAAGCAAUCUUUCUUAGCACGCAUCCUAGCGGUUCUUUCUUUGCGCUCAUAAAUGGAAAUUCUCAUAGCUUUGAGAGACUCAUUGAUAUCAUGCUUAGGUGGAAUAGAUCUAAGUUUCAAAGAAUCAACAUCAAGAGAAAUUCUAUCAACGUUCCUAGCCAAUUCAUCAACCUUAAGCAAUUUUUCUUCAAGCAAAGCAUUGAAAUUCUUUUGCGAAUUCAUAAAAUCCUUAACACUAGUCUCAAAUUCAGAGGGCAUAUUAUUAAAAUUUCCAUAAGAAUUUUUGUAGGAAUUACCAUAAUUAUUAGAGGAAUUACUAGGAAAUGACCUAGAAUUAAAAUUACCUCUAUACGCGUUAUUACCAAAAUUGUUCCUACCAACAAAAUUCACAUCCAUAGAUUCAUUAUUAUUCUCAAUCAAGGUAUACAAAGGCAUAUCAUUAGGAUCAGUAGGAGCACUCUUAUUAGCAAACAAUUUCAUAAGUUCAUCCAUCUUUCCACUCAAAACAUUAAUUUCCUCUAUCGCAUGCACUUUUUUACUAGUAGAUCUUUCGGUGUGCCAUUGAGAAUAAUUAACCAUAAUAUUAUCUAGGAGUUUAGUAGCUUCUCCUAAAGUGAUUUCCAUAAAAAGUGCCUCCCUCGGCCGAAUCUAAAAGAUUUCUAGAAGCAAAAUUCAAUCCAGCAUAAAAAUUAUGUAUAAUCAUCCAAAGAUUCAAACCAUGUGUAGGGCAAUUACGUAUCAUAAAUUUCAUCCUCUCCCAAGCUUCUGCAACAUGUUCAUGAUCAAGUUGCUUAAAAUUCAUAAUAUCGUUUCUAAGAGAGAUGAUUUUAGCGGGAGGAAAAUACUUAGAGAUAAAAGCAUCUUUGCACUUAUUCCAUGAAUCAAUACUAUUUUUAGGCAAAGACGAGAACCAAGCUUCAACACAAUCUCUAAGGGAAAAAGGAAAUAGCUUCAAUUUAACAAUAUCAUUGUCCACAUCUUUCUUCUUUUGCAUAUAACACAAAUCAACAAAGCUAUUUAGAUGGGUAGUGGCAUCUUCACAAGAAAGGCCGGCGAAUUGAUCUUUCAUGACAAGAUUCAACAAAGCAGCAUUAAUUUCACAAGAUUCAGCAUCAGUAAGAGGAGCAAUCGGAGUGCUAAGAAAAUAAUUGUUGUUGGUAUUGGUAAAGUCACACAGUUUAGUAUUAUUGUGAUCCAUAGUGACAAGCAAGCAAUCCAACACACGAGCAAACAAGAAGCAAGCGAAAAAGAGGCAAACGGAAAGAGAGGGAGAGAGGAAAAGAGGGCGAAUAAAACGGCAAGGGUGAAGUGGGGGAGAGGAAAACGAGAGGCAAAUGGCAAAUAAUGUAAUGCGAAGGAUAAGAGUUUGUGAUAGGUACUUGGUAUGUCUUGACUUGUGCGUAGACUCCGGCAACGGUGCCAGAAAUGGCUCGUUGUCAGGAGUCAAAUCUUGACUUGACUUGGCGUGAAUCUCCCCGGCAACUGUGCCAGAAAUCCUUCUUGCUACCUCUUGAGCACUGCGUUGGUUUUCCCUUGAAGAGGAAAGGGUGAUGCAGCAAAGUAGCGUAAGUAUUUCCCUCGGUUUUUGAGAACCAAGCUAUCAAUCCAGUAGGAGAUCACGCUCGAGUCCCACGCACCUACACAAACAAAUAAGAACCUCGCAACCAACGCGAUAAAGGGGUUGUCAAUCCCUUCACGGUCACUUACGAGAGUGAGAUUUGAUAGAUAUGAUAAGAUAGUAUUUUUGGUAUUUUUAUGAUAAAGAGAAAUAAAGAUGCAAAGUAAAAUAAAUGGCAAAGGAAAUAACUAAGUGUUGGAAGAUUAGUAUGAUGGAAGAUAGACCCCGGGGCCAUAGGUUUCACUAGUGGCUUCUCUCAAGAGCAUAAGUAUUACGGUGGGUAAACGUAUUAUUGUCGAGCAAUUGAUAGAGUUGAGCAUAGUUAUGAGAAUAUCUAGGUAUGAUCAUGUAUAUAGGCAUCACGUCUGCGACAAGUAGACUGAAACGAUUCUGCAUCUACUACUAUUACUCCACACAUCGACCGAUAUCCAGCAUGCAUCUAGAGUAUUAAGUUCAUAAGAACAGAGUAUUGCUUUAAGUAAGUUGACAUGAUGUAGAGCGAAAACUCAUGCAAUAUGAUAUAAACCCCAUCUUUUUAUCCUCGAUGGCAACAAUGCAAUACGUGUCGUUUCCCUUUCUGUCACUGGGAUCGAGCACCGCAAGAUUGAACCCAAAGCUAAGCACUUCUCCCAUUGCAAGAAAGAUCAAUCUAGUAGGCCAAACCAAACAGAUAAUUCGAAGAGACUUGCAAAGAUAAACCAAUCAUACAUAAAAGAAUUCAGAGGAGAUUCAAAUAUUGUUCAUAGAUAAACUAGAUCAUAAACCCACAAUUCAUCGGAUCUCGACAAACACACCGCAGAACAAGAUUACAUCGAAUAGAUCUCCAAGAAGAUCAAGGAGAACUUUGUAUUGAGAUCCAAAGAGAGAGAAGAAGCCAUCUAGCUAAUAACUAUGGACCCAUAGGUCUGAAGUAAACUACUCACACAUCACCGGAGAGGCCAUGGAGUUGAUGUAGAGGCCCUCCGUGAUCAAUGCCCCCUCUGGCGGAGCUCUGAAAAAGGCCCCAAGAUGGGAUCUCUUGGGUACAGAAGGUUGCGGCGGUGGAAUUAGGUUUUCGUGGUGCUCCUAGAUGUUUGGGGGUACGUGGACUUAUAUAGGAGGAAGAAGUAUGUCGGUUGAGCAACGAGGGGCUCACAAGGGUGGAGGGCGUGCCCUGGGGGGUAGGCACACCCCCUGCCUCAUACCCUCCUUGAUCGUUUCUUGACGCCCACUCGAAGUCUCCUGGAGCACGUUUGUUGAGAAAAUCAUGUUCCCGAAGGUUUCAUUCUGUUUGGACUCCGUUUGAUUUCGUUUUCUUCGAAACCCUAAAAUAGGCAAAAAAACAACAAUUUGGGCUGGCCUCCGGUUAGUAGGUUAGUCCCAAAAAUGAUAUAAAAGUGUAAAAUAAAGCCCAUUAACAUCCAAAAUAGAUAAUAUAAUAGCAUGUAGCAAUAAAAAAUUAUAGAUACGUUGGAGACGUAUCAGCGUUCCCCACACCAGGCAAGCCUUCGAAGAGGAAGGCAAACGAAGAUACGGCCGAGCCUUCGUCAAAGAGGUAUGAAUUUGGAAAUAUGCACCUUGGCAGUCACAUCCAACUAUGACCUUUCCGUUUACCCUGUAUCAGGAAAAAGGUGUGCCGGACUAUAUCCUGGGGUUCGGCCGGUCAUACUUCCCGCAGCCAAGAUCCAGAUCCUGCCGUGAAGACGGGGGCUGAUGCAGGGGUGACGUCGGACUGUCCUCCAGCCGAGGAUUCGGAUGAUGUAUCCGUCACCAACUCGGAAGUGGAGAGCGCCAUGAAUCAUCGGCUCCGCAAGGCUGUUUUACAAAACCCUGGUUUUUCAGAAGAGGCAUUUAACGCCUUCAGCUCUGUUGAUGCAUAUAUCCGAGCUGCUCGUGAUGGGCUUAAUAGAGCCACAAAGCAGCAUUUAAAAGAUGUCCAGGUAAGUUUACUUUGUAUGACUAUGAUAACCAUAUGCCAGUAGCCCCCGAGACUUGAAGGAGUUGGUACAACUGAUUUAAGUAUUGUUGUAUAACCAGGUUCCUACGGAGAAGAAUGACCUGUUAGCCCAAGAGCUGGAAAAGUGCCAGACACAGCUAACUGCUGCCCGCGCCGAACUGGAGAAAUCCAAGAAGGCGUCACCUGGUAAAGUUCCCCUCCAUCGAGAAAACAUAAUGUUAUACCAAUAAUGUUAACCACGGUUGCUUACCUCCUGUCGGGAUCACUAGGUCAACUACAAGAACAACUGAAAGCUGCCCAAGACGGAGAACGAGAAGCCAAGAAGCUGCUAGCCGCGGGAGAGCGUGUGCUCACAAAUGUCGUACUGGAGAAGAACAAGCUCCAGGAUUCGAAUACCCGAUUGGGUGAGGAUCUGAAAGAUGUACGGGCCCAACUGGCCAACUCCGUGAAGGAGAAUAAAAGGCUGCGCGGUAGCAUGUUCAGUAUGUGUCUGACUUUACUUUAUAAUAGUUUGGAGAUAUCAGGAACUGUCAGAGUUAUAUCUGUAGGUAUGCUGACCGGCCGUCCCGAAGAUGAGAUGUCUGGAUUCUUAGGCGACCUGCUACAAGAGUUGUCACAUAUUCAUGAGCAAGCUCGACAGGCGAUGCGAAGCGUUGCCAAAGCUUUGUGGCCAGGUGCCUCCUCUCUAGGAAAGAUGGAGGAGCUCCUAGAGCUAUUCAAGGGGGCGCAGCAACGUUUUCGAUUGUGGAAAAUAUCGGCCUGUCGGGAAGGGGCUCGAGAAGCCUGGGCCAUGGUGAGGACACGGUACACCAAGCUUGACCUAAAUCAUAUGGCUCGGGUCGGACCUCUAGGGUCACACGGGAAGGAAGUUCCCGUUAAUUUGGUGUAUGACCAAGUAGCACUAGCUGCAAAAUAUUUCCAGCAGGAUUGUAAGUUAGAUAGCCUGCUGGAGGGUAUAGAGGAGGAAAUUUUUGAGUCGAAAUGACUAUGUAUUUUUCCGUCUAGCUGAAUUGUAAAACGAUUGUCAUGGUAGACCUUUUCGCUUUGCCCUUUGGACCCGAAGGCGCGGAGUGUUUCCGAAUACCUGUGCGGCCGAAUAGAUCGGGGUAUGCGUGGAAACCAAUCAUAGGGGUCAUAGUUGCUUGAAUAGACAAGUUGUAUCCGGCUAGUUAUGUUAUGUUACAUUAUGUAAGAAACAUCUUCCAGAGAGAAUAGUUCCAUUAAGGGUUCCUUUCCCUGGGUGUUCAUGCGUUAGAGCGCAUGUCCGAACUAUGAUUGAAAAAAUCGCAGUAUAUAUAUCUUUUCUAGGGGUUCGCAAAUGGAGCGAAUGCAAAAAACAUCUUUAAUUCACCGACCGAAUACUCCCUUGAGAACGCUAGCUUUCGGCUUCACCCAGUCUGAGGUACACAUCUGGAUGACCCAGCAGUAACAAUUGUAGAUGUGCUCCCUUUAUGCCCUAGCCGAACUAACGGGAACGUAGGGCAUAAGCACAGGAGCCAGGAAACCCAUCUUGGCCAAAGCUUAAGUCAUAUGGAUGCAUGUAAUGGCGAAGAAAAGGUACAUAUGGGAAAAACGCAUAUGUGGUGAGCAUGAUGCUCGAAGAAUAAUAGCAAGCUUCUAUACAAGAAGCCCCCAGGUAUAAUGGACGUACAUAUUUGGAGAUGUACACAUCGGGGGAGCAUGGUCUAACCGUACUAAAGUCAUAGGGAUAAAGGGCAAAACGAAAAGAGAUAGAAAACAAAAAGAGGGAAAAAGUAACGUUAAUAACAGGAGGAAGGAGACGAACACAGAGUUUGGCGCUAGGCAAAGAAUCGUCGGAGUCUGGCCGCAUUCCAGGGGUUCGGCUCCAAGUGAUUGUCUGACGCAUCAUGCAGGAGGUACACUCCUCCAGUGAGGACUUCGUCAAUGAUGAAGGGACCCUCCCACUUGGGCUUGAGUUUGUCCUUUUUCUUCUCCGGCAGGCGUAGAACGAGUUCACCAACGUUGUAAGUCUUGGCCCGCACUUCUCUGCUUUGAUACCUGCGAGCCUGCUGUUGAUAUAAUGUGAAACGGGCUUUCGCGACGUCGCGCUCCUCUUCCAGGGCAUCUAAGCUGUCCUGCCGAUCGAGCUCGGCCUCUCUCUCUCUUCGUACAUGCGCACUCGAGGUGAGUCAUGAAUAAUGUCGCAGGGUAACAAUGCUUCCGCACCGUACACCAUGAAGAACGGUGUGUAUCCAGUAGUGCGGUUGGGCGUGGUCCGCAGCCCCCAGAGUACGGAGUCAAGUUCCUCCGCCCAGUGCUUGUCUGAUUCUUUCAAAGACCGCACUAGUCUAGGUUUGAUACCGCUCAUAAUAAGACCAUUAGCCCGGUCGACUUGACCGUUUGUCUGCGGGUGAUAGACAGAGGCGUAAUCGAGCUUAAUGCCUAGAUUAGCACACUAAGUUUUCACUUCAUCGGCUGUGAAAUUAGAGCCAUUAUCGGUGAUGAUGCUGUGUGGAACACCAUAACGGUGUACCAUGCCGGAUAUGAAAUCUAUUACCAGCCCCGCCUCGGCUGUUUUGACUAGUUUGGCCUCUAUCCACUUAGUGAAUUUAUCCAACAUGACCAGCAGAUACUUUCUCUUAUGGCUUCCUCCUUUAAGGGGUCCGACCAUAUUGAGGCCCCAGAACGCAAAAGGCCAAGUGAUGGGGAUUGUUUGUAAGGCAGUGGGGAGCAUAUGGCUUUGGUUGGCGAAGAGUUGGCAUCCGACGCAAUGUUGGACAAGGUCCUGUGCAUCUGCUUGGGCCAUUGAUGACCCACAAGUAUAGGGGAUCUAUCAUAGUCCUUUCAAUAAGUAAGAGUGUCGAACCCAACGAGGAGCAGAAGGAAAUGAUAAGCGGUUUUCAGCAAGGUAUUCUCUGCAAGCACUGAAAUAAUAGGUAACAGAUAGUUUUGUGAUAGGAUAAUUUGUAACGAGUAACAAGUAACAAGAGUAAAUAAAGUGCAGAAAGGUGGCCCAAUCCUUUUUGUAGCAAAGGACAAGCCUGGACAAACUCUUAUAUAGAGAAAAGUGCUCCUGAGGACACAUGGGAAUAUCGUCAAGCUAAUUUUCAUCACAUUCAUAUGAUUCACGUUCGGUACUUUGAUAAUUUGGUAUGUGGGUGGACCGGUGCUUGGGUACUGUCCUUACUUGGACAAGCAUCCCACUUAUGAUUAACCUCUAUUGCAAGCAUGCGCAACUACAACAAAAGUAUUAAGGUAAACCUAACCGUAGCAUGAAGCAUAUGGAUCCAAAUCAGCCCCUUACGAAGCAACGCAUAAACUAGGGUUUAAGCUUCUGUCACUCUAGCAACCCAUCAUCUACUUAUUACUUCCCAAUGCCUUCCUCUAGAUCAUGUGCACGUAGUUCAAAUUUGAAUUAUGCACAUAAAUGCAUUGAAAACUCAAUUAAUGCAUAAAAUUUCCAAACGAACCCCAAAAAAUCCCAAAAAUUGACACAACACUCAUGUUGUUUUAUGUUGAGACGAGAAAUUUUUUUAAAGCAAUAAGAGGCAAUGGAUAUUGUUUGGUCCCCAAAGGUGGGACGUUCCCUACCGAAACCAUCAGACUUGUUGUAACAAGCUCUGGUUUGUGAGAAGCAUAUCCCCAAACCUGCCCCAAAUGGGACAAAAUAUUUACCACGACAUGUUGAUGCUGCUGCAUCAUAGCAUGCCAAGUUUCAUGAAUUACAGACGAGCUUUGGAUUUACCAGAAUUUAAAAACUAGGUAUCUCAAUGUUUGCGGCCGAGUGACCGUGGCAGGCUGUUUGACAUUCAUUCCCAUUUCUUGUUGGGACCUAAGCAUGCAACCAAGGGCACAUAUUUGAAUUUUCAACCAAUUUAUAUGCAUUGGAGCAUGUGCAUGUAGUUCAAAUUUGAAUUAUGCACAUAAAUGCAUUGAAAACUCAGUUAAUGCAUAAAAAUGUCCAAACGAACCCCAAAAAUUGACACAACACUCCUCUUGUUCUAUGUUGACACGAGAAAAAAUUUCAAAGCAAUAAGAGGCAAUGGAUAUCGUUUCGUCCCCAAAGGUGGGAUGUUCGCUACCGAAACCAUCAGGCUUGUUGUGAGAAGCUCUGGUCUGUGAGAAGCAUAUCCCCAAACUUACCCCAAAUGGGACAAAAAAAUUACCACGGCAUGUUGGUCCCGCUCCAUGAUAGCAUGCCAAGUUUCAUGAAUUUCAGACGAGCUUUGGAUUAACUAGAAUUUAAAAAGCAGGUAUCUCAAUAUUUGCGGCCGAGUGACCGUGGCAGGGUGUUUGACAUUCAUUCCCAUUUCUUGCAUGGGACCUAAGCAUGCAACAAAGGACACAUAUUUGAAUUUUCAACCAAUUUAUAUGCAUUGGAGCAUGUGCAUGUAGUUCAAAUUUGAGUUAUGCACAUAAAUGCAUUGAAAACUCAGUUAAUGCAUAAAAAUGUCCAAACGAACCCCAAAAAUCCCAUAAAUUGACACAACACUCCUGUUGUUCUAUGUUGACACGAGAAAUUUUUUGAAAGCAAUAAGAGGCAAUGGAUAUCGUUUCGUCCCCAAAAGUGGGACGUUCCCUACCGAAACCAUCAGGCUUGUUGUGAGAAGCUCUGGUUUGUGAGAAGCAUAUCCCCAAACCUGCCCCAAAUGGGACAAAAAAUUUACCAUGACAUGUUGAUGCCACUCCAUGAUAGCAUGCCAAGUUUCAUGAAUUUCAGACAAGCUUUGGAUUUACUAGAAUUUAAAAACCAGUAUCUCAAUGUUUGCGGCCGAGUGACCAUGGCAGGGUGGUUGACAUUCAUUUCCAUUUCUUGCAUGGGACCUAAGCAUGCAACCAAGGGCAGAUAUUUGAAUUUUCAACCAGUUUAUAUGCAUUGGAGCACGAGCAUGUAGUUCAAAUUUGAAUUAUGCACAUAAAUGCAUUGAAAACUCAAUUAAUGCAUAAAUUGUCCAAAAGAACCCCGAAAAAUCCCAGAAAUUGACACAACACUCCUGUUGUUCUAUCUUGACAUGAGAAUUUUUUUGAAAGUAAUAAGAGGCAAUGUUUAUUGUUUCGUCCCCAAAGGUGGGACAUUCCUUAUCGAAACCAUUAGGCUUGUUGUGAGAAGCUCUGUUUUGUGAGAAGCAUAUCCCCAUACCUGCCCCAAAUGGGACAACAAAUUUACCACGACAUGUUUAUGUCGCUCCAUGAUAGCAUGCCAACUUUCAUGAAUUCCAGACGAGCUUUGGAUUUACUAGAAUUUAAAAACCAAGUAUCUCAAUGUUUGCGGCCGAGUGACCGUGGCAGGGUGUUAGACAUUCAUUCCCCAUUUCUUGCAUGGGACCUAAGCAUGCAACCAAGGGCACAAAUUUGAAUUUUCAACCAAUUUAUAUGCAUUAGAGCAUGUGCAUGUAGUUCAAAUUUGAAUUAUGCACAUAAAUGCAUUGGAAACUCAAUUAAUGCAUAAAAAUGUCCAAAUGAAGCACACAGUCAUUCAAAGUGAAUGGUCUAGCGGCACCGCGCGCAAAAUUUCCCUCCACAUUUCCAAGAUUUUGGCCUACCGCCAAAAUAUCUACCCCCUCCCCCCUUCCCCACGCCCCUUUCUCCCCAACCACAAGUCACAUUUCCCCUAUUUCCUCCUUCGUCCCUUCCUUACUUCCUAACCUAUAGGCGCUUCCUCGCAUCUCGCAUCCUACCAUCGGGGUCGCCAUGGUCUUCUUCAAAGACCUCUCUAGCGGUUCCUCCUCCGGCGAUGACUCCUUCACCACCCGGGUAUGCCUCUCUUCUCUCUCUCGGGCUAUGACAUGGAAUGAAAAUUUUUUACCCGGCGGUCGAUUUGAGUCAUUUCUUCCUCUUAUAGCUCCCUAGGACCAUCAGUGGCAAUGAAUGGAACGGGGUGGCUCAAGAUCUAUCUGCUCGUUGUCACCAUCAAUCUCCAUGCGUGAAGCUAGUUGCGUUUGAACCUAUGGACAAUGGGAGGAAGUUUCUGGCAUGUGCACACAAGGUUAGACCCUCUUUCGUUGUUACAAAUCAUUUGUUAGAUGUGAUUCAGACACUGUCACGGUCCCAACCCAUUCAUACCACACCUUUAACCAAACGCAUCCUAAGUCAGUGUCACAGUUUGUACCUAGUAUCUUAAAUUUUUUGCCAUCUCAUUAGCGGUGCCAUUAGAAAAUUAUUUGGCACCGCUUCAGUAGUUUGUGCGGCCAACUUUGGUCCACACAUCCGAGCAGCCAAGAAGUAAAAUACUAAAUCUUUAUGGCACGAAGGAACUGGGCAUCAGAGGAACUACGUGCUCCGGUCAGGUCCCUAAUUUUUUUCCGCUGCAUCGCCUCGCCACUGCAGGGCACCUGUGCAAGAUGUAACAACCGUUGUCUUUACCCCAGUUUUGGCAUACAUAGUGGACGGCCUUAGUUCUAUUAGUUCUAUGUUACUAAAUUUGUGCAUGUACACACCUGUUAGUAUCAAUUUUAUGUCAUCCAAACACUUUCACUAUGCUAUUGCAGUUAUAUUUACCUUCCUCAUAAAAUGUUCAAUUUGUUAUUUAUUGUACAUGAGUAAGAACUUGUAGCAUUGUUGUAGUUAAUUAUAGCUUCUGAUGUUCCAGAAUUUGGAUGUUGUCUCAGUAGCAAUUAAUUCAUUUGCACAUUGAUCUUUUUGAGAAGAUAUGUCAUAAUUAACAUGUUUCUUUAGUUUUUGAAAAUAAGCAUUGGUGAUUUUCUAUGUUGCUAUAAACCCAUUUCCCCUACAAUUGUUACUGAUCUAGUUUUAAAUAUUAUACGAUGAACGGAAGUGUCCUUACUUGGAGUGGGUUGAUCAAGAGUGGCCACGGUCUUUGAAGAUGUUCCUAGCGAAGCUCUAGAGCAUGUAUGAGGAAGAGAACAGAUGUAGGCUUAGAGAAACUGUUGUCAACGUUGAAGAAUAUUUGAAGAUGUGGGAUAAAAAGUUGAAGGUGGAGAAUGAGCUCAGAUUUUUUAAAUCAGACUUUGCUAAGAUGUGUUGGCGAAGGAGCAGGCACUUUCCUAGUUGGCCCGUGCAAAAUAGGUUCUUAUUGAACUGAAAGCAGAGGUGGAUAAGACGAGACUGGAUGAUCUAGAUUAGGGAAAUUAAUAUAUUGUUCUUAUGAAGUUGAACUUGCUAUAUGUUGUACUGUGCUAUUUUCAUGUAGUUAUCUUACUGUGAUGUUAUAAUAUAUUUAUGUGCCUGAUAUGAAAUUGGAAAACAUCGUUCGAUAUGAAAUGUGAAUUUGCGUACUACUGGAAUUAUUAAUUCUAAACUAAUAAACCUGGUAAAUGUGUCAUGGACCUUUGCAAACGGUUCUAGCAGUAAAAGCUCUUGCGAUGGAUAGCCCAAUGCCACAUAGCUUUCUUUAUCAAAUCGUGUGUGAUGUAGUUGAUAAAAGAAAACAGUUAACCAAGGCAGACCGAGUGUGAUAGUUACACCUUUCACACACGAGCCUACACAUAAAACGGUGUGGGAUGUACAUAUGAAUGGAAACGUUUUCCCUGGAUUGAGUGUGCGGGAUGUACAUAAGAACGGAAACGUAUUCCUUGGAUUGGCUGUGUGUGAUAUACAUACCUACAUAAAUGUUUUUCUAGGAUUCACCAUGUGGGAUGUACAUACCUAUGGAAAUGUUUUUCUGGGAUUCACCGUGUGGGAUGUACCUACCUACGGAAAUGUUUUUUUGGGAUUCACCGUAUGGGAUGUACAUACCUACGGAAAUGUUUUUUUGGGAUUCACUCUGUGGGAUGUACGUACCUACGGAAAUGAUUGGGUUUCGAUGUUUCGCCCGAUCGCACAUGGCCCCAACUUGUGUCCCAGGAGGGCCUAUCCCCGACGAUUUCUGGGUCAUGUGCAAAGGACCCCCUAUCGCCCACACUCACUUGGUGACGGUUCCAAAUGCCGUCGCGGAAGGGGUUAAAAACCGUUUGUAUAGCACCGACGCGUACUAGUGUUAGUUAACUGUUUGGUUCAAUUCUGUAAUGCAAUGUUCAAUUAUCGUGGGUGCAUUCUGUUAUUGUAUACUAUGUGAGAAAUAAAACGAAUUUGGCUCUACUAAAUACAUGAGAAACAAAUACAAUUGCUAUAUUUCCAAGUUGUUAAGCAUGUUUAGUUUGUUUAACUCUCUGAUCUUCUAUUAGGAGUAUAUUAUAUUGUGCAAUGUGGUGCUCAGCUAACGUUUGGUUCAUUUGUUGUGGUGUUUAGUUAACUGCUUGGUUCAAUUCUGCAAUGCGAUGUUCAAUUGUUGUGGGUGCAUUCUGUUAUUGUAUGCCAUGUGAGAAAUAAAUCGAAUUUGGCUAUACUAAAUACAUAAGAAACAAAUACAAUUGCUAUAUUUUCAAGUUGUUAAGCAUGCUUGGUUUGGUUAACUGUCGGAUCUUCUAUUAGGAGUAUGUUAUAUUGUGCAAUGUGGUGCUUAGUUAACGUUUAGUUUAUUUGUUGUGGUCUUUAGUUAACUGCACGUGCAUGGUUCGUUGUCUAAUAGCACAUUAUUGUGCAAUUGCAGGAAAGAUUCUAAUAUUUAGGUUUUUAACAAUUUGGUCUUGCACAUGUAGGUCUUGCUGUCAGAGGUUUUGACCCAUUGUUCGACCCUUUUUGCAUAUGGGGAAAUGAGUUUUCCAUGAAUAACAAUCAAGUCAAGAAACUCAGAAAGAUUGUUAGGAUAAAGAAAUUAGCGACAAAAAACAACAAGAUCUUUUCUGCACAAUGAAGAAUACAUCUGUUCACCACAAGAUGGUACUAACUAUUAUACCUUACCUUUAUUUAUUCCUUUGCCCAUUUCCAAUAUAGAGAAGAUAUUUAUGCACAUCCUUGUUUGCAGGCCUUUCCAAAGCAGUUCACUGAUGAUUACCUCUCAAACCACCUCUAUGGUCAGGAGGCGAGGAAAGUUUUCAUACAACACCCACGGUUCAAUAUUGAAGUGUUCCUGGCACUGGCCUAAAGUUGCAAAGACCUUCAACAUGAAUGAAGGUUUAAUAUUCACCUUCUGCUUCAGCAGUUUUCCAGAUGAGAUGCAUAUGUCUAUAUAUCGUCUAUGAUGCUAAUUUUGGAAGGUUCUACAUGUUGCAUGUGAAACUUGGUGCUGGUGUAGUUGUGUAAUGGGGUAGAUGAGUGCUGAAGCUAUAUCAUGUUGUACUCUGAUGUAUUUCAAUUAUGAAAUCCUGCUUCCUUAAUAUGGAAAUGAAAUAUAUUAUGUGCUUAAUAUGAUUGUCAAUUAGAUUAAAAAAUGGAUUAUUAAUAAUAGGGCAAUUAGCCUGCUAACGGCGAAUUAGCCUGUUGAUUGAGUUUUGCUAUUGCAAACGGUUAUUCAGAAAAUACCACAGUUUCUAGGAAUAAACUGUGUUGGAUCAAUGAACAAUCACACACGACCUUCUCUUGAAAACUGUUUGCGUUAGGCCACCUUGCGCAAAUGUUUAUCACAUAAAAACUGUGUGUGAUGGACAACCUUUGCCACACUGUUUCUUCUAUGUACCGUGUGUGAUGCAUUCAGUAACGCAAAUGAUAAAAUUGUUAAUAUCGUGUGCAAUGGCAACGCUAUCACAAAGGAUUUUACGGGGAAAAUUGUGUGUGAUGUACCUGUGAAUGGAAACGUUUUCCUUGAAGCGACUGUGUGGGAUGUACAUACGAACGGAAACAUUUAGCGGGGACUGACUCUAUGGGAUGUACUUGCGACCAAAAACAAUUUCGCCUGUAUAAUUGUAUUUUUAGCUCUACUAUACGUAUUUUUGUAUUUGAGCGCUCGCCUGUCGCACACGACCUCAUUUUGGCGAGCAUGUGUGCCAGGAGGGAAUAUCCCCGACGGUUUCUAGGACGUGUGGGAAGGACGCCCCUAUCGCCGUCACUCACUAGGCGACGGUUCCAAAUGUCGUCACAGAAAAGUGUCAAAAACCGUUUGUAUAGCACCGACGUGUACGAGUGCUGGCUGAUGAUAGUUGUGCCAUAUUGUGUUAAUUUGGUGUAGGCUGGUGUGGUCUGGUUGACGAAACAUUCAUUGUGUCUAUGUUGCUUUCCUAUUAUCUGACUCGGCCAAUGAUAGCAAUACUAGUGUGUUAAUUUGGUGCAGGCUGCUGAAGAUAAGAAGACAAACUCUGAAAAACAGCAAGGCAACCCCAUUGUUUCUUUCCAAUAAAUCUAGGGCAGGUAAUGUGGCAAUAACUCUUGAUUAAUCUGUUCGGUUCCCCUCCUAAUUUAUACUAUGAUGUAAUGGUCGAGAGACUCUCCACUAUCAAUAAUACAAGCCUGCCAAAAUUUCCAUUUGAAUCUAUUCAGUUUCCUCCGUCUCUAAUCCAACCAAAAAAAUAUGUUUGUGAACAAUUACUGGCUGAAGCAACGAUAGAAAUUGUGGAGGAAUCAGUGGUGCACGUUCUUGCGCAACAACAACUGAUCAAUGUUUUCAGAGACAGUGCAGCAAAGAAGGAAGAACUUGCUCACAUGCUUAUGGGCGUCAUCCGCGCCGAGGUUGCAGAUUGUGAGGUUGUAGAUUGUUAUGUUCUAUUCAUUUAUUUGCACUGGCAUCAAUCUUUGAUUGCCCAGUGGAUGUAAUUUCUUGUAAUAUAUGCUGGAUGUGUUAUGUUUUUCCUUGUAUGCCAUACAUUUGCUUAGCGCGUCUCACACUCCAUCCAUGGCUGGUUGCUAGGAAGCCAAAAAAGCAGUGAAAUUAAUAGCUAGCAUGAACGUCAUGGGACCUUUGUGAAGGAUAGCGGCGCACUGCCCUUAAUGCCCCCUAAUGGGAUCACAAGGGCCAAAAUUCUCCUGGGCCUUUGAUUGAUAGGUUUUGGUCCUGUCCAUAAAUGCUCAUCAUAAUGGGGUCAAAGUAUAGCUGGGCCGAAUUCGACUUUGUCUAAUUGGGCCUACAGACAUGUUCGAACUUUAGCGGGCCCAAUAAGUUGAUGGGCCGUAACUAGGCCGAGAGCUCUAUUGGGUCGCUAUAAUUGAAACGAGCCAACACUUAAUGCUUGGCCUAGUUACCUCUUGGGUCGUUAACAUGACGUAAUUGAAGCGGGCAAUAAGUGGGACCAUUCCAUUUCAUGGGCCGUAAUAGGCCAAUACUAAGGUCGGGCUGUAUAUGGCCCAACUGUAUUGAGGGCCUUUAGAAGGCCAAAAGAGACAGCGGGCUGGUAUUAGAUCAUGAAGAGCAUGGGCCGCUAAGAGGCUGAAAGUCGGGUCGGACUGUAUAUGGCCCAACUGUGUUGUGGGCCUUUAGCAGCCCGAAAAAGAAACCGAGCUGGUAUUGGACCAUGAAGAGUAUGGGCCGUUAAGAGGCCAAAACUCAGGUCGGACUGUAAAUGGCCCAACUCUUUAUGGGCCGUUAACAGGCUGAAAGACGCACUGGGCUGGAAAUUAGUCCAACACUUAAAUGGGUCGCUAAAAGGCCAAAAGUCAUACAUCCUAAAAAUUGGCCCAUCCCUUGAAUGGGUUGUUAACAGGACGAAACUAUGUUGGGCUAAUAUUGAGCCAAAAUAUAUAGCAGGCUGUUAAUGUUCUCGAAUUGACAAUGGGUUGCAAUGCUGUCAAAUAGUUAACGGGCCGUUGACGGGCCGAAUUGGCACAUCUCGUAUGGGUCGUGGGCCUAAAUGGAUCAGACACAAGUAGGCCCUAUAAGGGUCGGCCUGCUAAUUUUGACUGGGCCAGCCUCUUUCACCUAAAUGGGCCACUGUUGGGCCUUGCCAUGUGUCGACAUAUCAUAGGCACCUCCUGUGCAAUGGGGGGAUGACAUCUGUCCCAAUGUUGAGCCAACAUGUGGAUCCUCCAGUGAAUGACAAUUUUACACGUGGAAAAUCCCCAUUGGUCUGUGCUGUUAACGGGUUAUCAGAUCCAAACCAAAACCCGACAGCUCAACGGAGACCCGUUACAGUGGAUGCACGUGUCGGUUACCCUUGACAAAAACACUUCCAUGAUGCGCCAUUUAUCGUCAUGGAAGUGGAUACUUCCGUGAUGAUAAUUUCAGUAUUGUCAUGGAACACCUCUAUGACAGCACAAGUAUGACUAUCUUGAUUCUGUCUGAAAAUCGGCAUGGAUGUACAUGCAUGAUAGAAAACAUGACCUACUAUGACAAACACGCAUCAUCAUGAAAGUGUUUUUUGUAGUGGUAGCGGAGACUGGGAUAAGGAUAUGAAGGUGGUGAAGAGGAAUCGAGGGGAUGGUGAUAAUAUCGUGACAAAUAGUGGAAAUGAUUCUCAGGUUGCAGCGAUGGCCUAACUUGACACCUUUGUGGCGAUAAUGGAGGACAACGGCAAUGAUGGGGGUGAGGAGCAUGGCUACGACAGAUUGGGAUCCGCUAUAGUGGCAUAUGAGGUAGUAUGACCGCAGAUGUGUGGAUCAGACCCCACAUUACAUUUGCCCUAACACAUUGUGCAAUACCAUAAUCAUAUUGUCCAAGCACUAGGGUAAGGAAAUGGAGCGGAGGUGACAGAGAGGGAUACAGAAGGUUUGGGAGUAGACAACAAGAAUGACAAAAGCGCGAGAGAGGUGACUAAAAUAAAAGAGGAAAAAGUUAUCAUGUUUGGCCCUGCUCUUUAGUUUAUUUAGGUUUGGCCACUCAACCCCUAAUGUAAUCGGUGUCAGGACUAGAUAUCUAUGAAAGAAACUUCUUUCACAUUAUUUCUUGGAAUGCCUGUUGCCUCAAUGAUAGUGAUAAAUGUGUGGAUGUUUUAUCCGAGUUAACUUCUCAACAUCCAUCAAUUGCACUUCUUCAGGAAAGGAAACUCCAAGACCCACUACUUUGAAAGAAUAGACAAUUCUUACCGCUUUUAUUAGAAUCCUAUGAACAAUUAUCAGCCAUUGGAUUUGCUGGAGGCUUCCUCUCCGCCUCAAAACCCAAACACCUCACUCUAAUCGGUUGCCUGCACCACCAAUUCACACCCUCCUUACACUCACUUGCUUGGCAUGAAAAUCAAACCAAGUGAUCAGAAAUGUGUACGCCCAAUCCUCCAGACCAUAAAAACAAAGGUUCUUGGAAAAAUUUAAAAACAUCCCCCCUCAAUCCACAUCUUUCCUAGUAGUAUGUGACUUUAACCUUAUCUGCUUCGCACAUGAAAAAUAUAACUCCGACUUUCCCUGAUUCGAAGUUGAUUCCUUCAAUGACACCAUUGAUCAAUUGGUUUUCUUAGAAUUACCCAUAACUGAUAGACUUUUCACUUGGUCGAGGAACCGAUAUAACCUAACUACUGAAAGAUUAGAUAGAAUGUCUGUUAACCUCGCUUGGGACAAGAUCUUUGCUAAUACUAACCUCUCCCCCUCACGUGAUUCACCUCAAAUUCUGUCCCACUACUCAUCUCCAUUUCCUCCAAAAAUCCCCUUUGCCCGCCUCUUCCAUUUUUAAAAGUACCUGGCCACAUUUCCAGCCUGUAACAAAAUUUUGGCUGACAUUUGGUGGCCCAUGACCCUCCUGGAAUAUAGGCCUAUACAUGCCUCUAGCGUCACCACUAUUGUCCCAGUUGCCGCCCUCAUUAACAAAUUAAAAGAACAAGUGGGCCUCACAACUUGGGCAAAAAACUAAAGCCCAUCUAUCAUACGAAAAAAUUUAAGCCUGACAUCCAAAUUCUUGACCUUUUAGAGGAAUUUUGUCACUUAUCUCUCUUGGAAAAGGAACUAAGGGCGAUUGUCAUCAUUUGCCUCCAAUGUCCCAUUAGACAAACAAUGCUUUCUAGAAACAAUGCAAAAAAAAUUAGAACCACCAUUGACAAACAUGAAAACACAAGAUUCUUUCAUGCCUCAGUAUGGAUCGCUUGAGGAAAAAUUAAAUUUUAAUUAUCCUAGAUGAAGGCUCUAAUUUUUUCUCCUCGUCCAAGAAGUACAAAAUGCUCAAAAGCUUACCUUAUUGGGAAAAGAAAAAAUGUUGUGUGGAAAUUCGAUCUCUCAUUGCUCUAUGACUCAACUCUACCUCGGUUUCAAAUCUUGGACCCGUCCUUUAUGGAAUAAGUGAUUUAUGACGCCUUCCUGCACAUGAACCUGAUUUUCUGUCCUAGCCAGGAUGGCUUAUGUCCUGCCUCCUUUUUUUGGUACUAGCACUCAAUCAAGCACAUUUUCCUUCCUUUCUUCAGGCCCUCCAUUAUCUCACCAUGGACCUAGAAAGAUUCAAUCGGGUCCUGAUUAUGCUUCUCCAAAAUAAAGAGGCAGACACUACACCAUAUGCCUUUCACCCCAUCUCCCUCCAAAAUUACACGCCCACGCGAUUUCCAAACUGUGAAUCUUCAGCCUAAAAAUUCCUUAAUACCACUACUUAUUUAUAGUGACCAAAUUGGCUUCCUUCAUGGACAAAACAUCACAGAGUUUUUCAUGUUUUAGACCUGCUAAGCACCUACCACUCUUGGAAGGCCACCACUAUUGUGUUCAAAAUAGAUUUCACAAAGGCAUUGGGCUCCAUCUCCUCAGACUAGCUCCUUCCACAUCCGUGGCUUCGCCUCCUCUUGUCACGGAUUUGGGGUACUUUGGACACAUGUAAGACUGGUUCUCCUCUAUGGGGUACCAACCCCUAGAUAAACUACAAAUGUGGACUAAUUCAAGGAGACCCUCUAUCACCUUAACUUUUUUCUAUAAUUGUGGCUGAUAUACUUCAACACAUGGUGCAGAAAGCCUUCUCCCACCACAUAUUUUGCCGCCCACUAAUCAAUGCAAAGCCUCUGGUUAAUUUUCAACAUAUAGAUGAUACAUUGAUUGUUGUGCAUGCCUGCACUGAUGCCGCACACACUCUGAAACAAAUUGUGGACGACUUUUACCUUGCAACUAGCCUCUCUAUCAACUUCAGCAAAAAAAUCAAUUUUGCCAAUCCACUCACACCCUUAUACGGCAUCGCCUAUUACUAAUGCGUUAACCUGCUCUCAAAGGGUCUUCCCACUCAUUUACCUCAGGCUACCACUCUCUCCCACUAAACUGACAACUUCAGCCUUUGAUCCAAUCAUAGACUACUUCCAUAGAUGUCUUCUGGGUUGGGUGGCUAGGAUGCUCUCUAGGGAUGCUAGAUUACACUCCUUUCUUCUAUUCUCAACUCCCUGUUCAUGUAUUUUAUGUCGGUUUUUUAUUUAACAAUUUUAUUUUUGAAAAUUCUUGAUGCCUUGCAUAGAAACUUUUACUUGUCUAAUGAGGAAUCUUGCACGAGAGCAAAAUUUCUUAUAGCUUACAAAAUUUUGUAAGCUAUUUUUUGUUGGCCUUGGCAUUAAAAAUAUAUCAACUCAAAAUAAAUUUUUGAAAAUGAAAUUUUCCUUCAAAUUACUACAACGUCCAGAUAUUCAUUGGGUUCUCUGUUACCUCCAUGUAUACCCUGUGAACAUUGCAGAUAAACCCUCCAACCCUUCCUUCAUUUUGAAGACUAUCAACCACCAACUAUAAGCACUUAUCAACCUCACAUUUGUGAUCAGAAUUAAUGGCCUCUCCACCUUCUUCUCACUAGACUCCUGGUUGUUAAAAACACCUCUACAAAAAACAUCCCCACACCUUUUUUUGCACACUACAAAUGACAAGGUCCGAGUGGCUACUAUUUGGGAAUUUGGCUUAUUGACUAAACUUUGAAGUUGCCUUACUUCUGUUCCCUCUCAUGAAUUGGAUUUUUGUCUCCAUUACGGGAUUUCCACUCUACUAAGCCAAAGGACGAUCGGUCUCUCAUCCACGGUAUGCCCUCCAUGUCUAGGCAUGCCUACGACACCCUCACCCUCAAGUCAGUUGUCGACCCAAACCACGACUUCAUCUGGUAUGUCAAAGUUCUCAUCAAGGUGAAGUUCUUUGGUUGGCUAGUUUUCCGGGAUAGAUUAAACUCCAAGGAGAAUCUUCACCAUAGACAUAUUGUGGACUCGUCUUGGUUCGCUCGAUGCGAUUCCCCUUGUGAAGAUGCUUCCCACACCACCCUUCUCUGCCUUGCCGCCUCUCAAGUGUGGAUUCACCUCAAGCUAAUGCCCCCUCAUCUUUGGAGCUUCUUUGGAAGACCAAUCACCCUCGGGCCUCGACCCCAACAUUUUUCCAUCAGUCGCCCUCACCAUCAUGUGGAAAAUUUGGGACUCUUGCAAUGCUCUUGUCUUCUGGGACGAAAACCACCUCGCAAAGAUGAUUGUCAGGAACAUUAUAUUUGAAUUCUCCUUUUGGAUCUUUAUGUUUAAAGACAUUGCCUUAAGAGAUGUGGCCACGUCAAAAAGAUAGGAAGCUUCCCCCGGGUGACCACUCAAAAAUGGCUUCGUUAAAUAUUAACAAAUUUUUCUAUAGACUUGAGAAAUCAUAACAAAAUUUGACUUGGGACAACCUAUGACUUCAAGUAAUUUCGAACUAAUAGAGUAUGACCUAAAAUGUUGACCUAUAAUUUUCAUGUGUGGAAGUAUUAGUGCACUUUUGCUUAACUAAAAACAUUUAUGUUUCUUCUUAUGGUAUCCUCUAUUAUAUUUAAACACACACACAAAUGCUACUUAUACAUACCAUAAAUUAUUGCAUCAACACUGUCCAUAGAAAAUGUGUAGCCUCCUACGAAUGACCAUAUUGGAUGUUGAUAGGUCAAUCUUUUUCCCCUAGGGUUUCUCUAGGGUCUACCCUGUCCUUCAGCAGCGACACCAAAUUCUACGGGGAAACAACCCCCGAUCGCCUUAUUCUCAUUGGCGUUUGGUGGGGCGAGGGCCAGUGCUAGAGGAACGGUCCUCCAUGGAUCUCCCGAGCAUCUCGGAAAUUAGAGAAGGUUUGAGGGUGGGACAAAUGUCAGAGGAGAAGGAUACACAGAGAAGUGAGAGGCAAUCAUACUGCUGCCGAUCGGGUGGCCAACCUUGGUGAAGUAGGGAGUGCGAAGGCAAGGGAGGCCAAAGAAAAUUGAGAGGAGGAGGAGGAAGAUGUGGACUAGGAACACCAAGGCCCAGAUCCAAAUCUGGAUGAUAUGUUUGAAGGCCUGAAUUUGCAUGGAGAGGAAGAGGAAGACCUAGACUUAUCUAGUGAGGUGGAUGAAUUGAUCAAGGAGGUGAGUUGGUUGGCUCUUUUUAGGGUUCAUACAUUGAGGCCCUUUAGCCAUGCAGCCCUGCUGAACUCUAUGAGAAAUGCGUGGACGUGUGCUUAGGGUGUAACUUUCAACAUCAAGGGACAGAAUUUGUUCCUAGCCCAGUGCCACUGCUUCGGAGAUUGGAAACGGGUGAUGGAAGGGGGACCAUGGCAAUUUCGUAGAGAUCCGGUGGUGAUAGUGGAAAAUGAUGGGUUCACUAAUGUUUCUAACUAUGCACUGGACAUGUUUCCACUAUGGGCAAGAAUUAAAGGUCUGACCGACGGGUUGACUAGGAAGAAGGAGCUCAAUGAGAAAGUGGCAAAGAAUGUAGGACACCCACCUUUUACAGUAGUUGUUAAUGAAGGAAAGAUCAACCCGUCUAAUUAUCUGAGGAUAAAAGUUUUUGUCAAUGUAAAUGAUCCAAUUGUGAGGUUUGUGCCUAUUACUCUUAAAAAGAGAAAGAAGUACCCAGUGUCUUAUGAGAAGCUGCCAGAUUUUUGCUUCUUUUGUGGAUGCAUGGGACAUGUUGUGGAGGAGUGUGGGGAUGGC
Molecule: long non-coding RNA, 53872 nt
Filed under: Triticum aestivum (bread wheat)
Lineage: Eukaryota; Viridiplantae; Streptophyta; Magnoliopsida; Poales; Poaceae
Description: long non-coding RNA (TAES_LNC015054)
Source: RNAcentral